Molecule: long non-coding RNA, 58591 nt
Filed under: Citrus x clementina
Lineage: Eukaryota; Viridiplantae; Streptophyta; Magnoliopsida; Sapindales; Rutaceae
Description: Citrus clementina (C. clementina) long non-coding RNA (CCLE_LNC001490)
Source: RNAcentral
AUUACAAAGGUAUUCACUGAAAAAGCAUAUAAUAGACAAUUAAGUUGUUGUAAAGAGGUAUUCACUGAAUAAGAUACGAGACCCAGCAUUCUGUCUUGUUCCUGCAUCUCAGUUUUCAGACAAUUGUAAACUAUUUUCUGUAACUCCCUGGUCUUCAUUGUGCCUUUGGGUAACUCUUUUCUAAUUUGUGGCAUUAAAUAUUCUGGGUUCACUUAAUCAUUUAAAUUUAGUAGUUUAUGAGUUAUGUUAGGUGACAUAGAAAACAAGUGUGGUUUCUUAAGCUAUUUGGAAUAUUUUAAUUGUUACUACUUCACUGUUAUUGUAAAGAUGUUUACCUUACUUCUUCAUUGGGUGCAUCAUAUUCAUGACCCCUUAUUCUCUUUUGAAACUGCAAAAUGAUUCAAGCUGCCAAAGUUUUUUAAGUAUUUUGAGAAUGAACUUGGAGCAACUGUGAUCUUUGGAUUAUUUGCAAUAUAUUGGGUCAUUCUACGAUUAAUAUUCUUCCCCUUUUGGGUCAUCAAAUGUACAAGGUUUGCCUGCAUGAUAAAUGAUUUGAUGCCACCUUAUUUGGUCAUCUAGCAGUUUAUUUGGCUUAUUUGCUUUUUUGAUUUGCAUUUUCCUACUACGAUCUUUAGUUCUACUUGAACUUAUCAGAGAUACUUUCAUUUACUACUUGUUCAAUACAAUGUUGCCGAUGCUCUUUGUGGUCCAGAUAUGCUGGUGGGUUCUCAUAUCCUCAAUGAUCUGGAGACAGCUGAAAAGUGGUCAACUUAGGGAAGAUAUAAGAUCUGGUAAGCAUUUUGAUGCUUCCAUUAUCAGUUUGAUUCAUUUAGUGUCGUCAAUUAUUCCCAGUAGUCUUUCUCCCUCUGUGGAAAUAAGCAUUGUUUUUGCUUUGAUAGUUUGCAGGAAACUUGAUCCCAUAUAAUAGUUUUGCUAGAACUUAAUUAGUUAUAUUCACAUGUGCCUAAGCCUCAGCCAUAUUUAAGUUCUUGUUUCAAAACCUAGAUAAAAUGAACUUAUAAUUGGAUAUUAAUUGUAAAUGAAACAAAAGGGUAAAGGAAUUAAUUAGUUAUAUUCACAUAUGCCUAAGUUUUGAAGGAAAGUUAGCUGCCUUUAUGGGUACCCUUUUGGUUCCACAUUUUAUUGCCGCAAAGAAUUAGUUUAAGUUACAUGAGAAACUUGAAAGUUUUACUUUAAUAGAUAAUUCUUUAUAAUGAUACUAUUGGCUAUAGUCAAUUGGUGUUGCACUUGCAGGUUGAGAGAAACUGCUGGACUUAGGAGUUUUGCUGGGUAUUUGUUGAGAAUAGGAAUUUAUCUAGUGGAAUUUCACUGAAAAUAUGGGAGAAGUCUUGCACUACAAGAUUUGACGGCUUCAUAGCUUGUAAAAUUUAAAGCAUUUGCUCGAGUUAAAUUUUUUUUAUUACUUUGGAUGGGUUAAUUGUUGGAUACAAGUGUUUUUGGAUGGUGUUAUUAAUAUAAAGUGUUUUUAGACUUGUUAGAAUGUAUAAUUUAACUUUUGGUUUAUAUUGAAUUUGUGAUUAAAUUCAUAUGUAGGAAUGCAUAAAUUUAAAUAAAAUAAUUUAGAAUUUCUUUAAAUAUAAAUUUAGAUCCUGGGACAAAAAAAACCAGUCAUAAAUUAUGUCGCAAAUACAAUAAUUAAUGAUAAAAAAUUUCAAUUAUUAAUUCGAUCACAAACAAAAUAGUUUACCCUCUAAAAUUAAUUGAAUAAUAAUAUACGUGUAAAAGAUAAUUUUCCCGCCAAAAUUUAAGAUAAAAUUUAAUUUUCGAGCCAAAAACUAAUUAAAAUAUUCAAUUUUUAAGAUGACUGACAUAUGACUUCGAAACAUUAUCGUAUGUUAAUGUAAUGACACAUUUUUUCUAUUAUAAAAGAGUGAUAGAUAUAUAGAUAGAUAAAUUCACUGUCAUUUACCCCCUUUAUGAUUUUUUUUCAGUCAUUUAUUGUCAAUUUUCGUGUUGUGAUUAUUAUUGUUAUUGUUAUUUAUUAUUACUACAAACAUUUAGUAUUAGUAUUAAUACUAUAUUGGCGCUUGUACUUAUUUAUAGUUGGGCCUAAUUUUUGCAAAGCCCAUUUUAGACAUUUUCAUCUAACCCAUUAACUAAUAGCAGGCAUAAAGUAGAGAUUGACGAUAAAAUAAGAGUUAACUUUUUCUUCUAUCUUUGGUCGGCCAUGAAUGUUCAAGUUAGAGUAUAAACUUAGAGUUAUUAUGUUUUAUCUAUGUGAUUAAGGAUUGGAAAGUUUUGAUUCUUGAGCUUAUUUUAUGAGUUUUGGUCGGCCAAGAUGCUAAUUCAUUGUAUUUGAAUUUUUGUGAAUUAAUGAGUAAAGGCAUAUCUAAAAUUGGGCUCCUAAUUCCUUGUAUUUUAAUUUUUUGUGAAUUAACGAGUAAAAGUUCUCAAUUUUAGAUUCCAGAUUUCAGGACAUAAUAGUCUUGGGAAAAAAAAGUUAUUUGGAAUAAUUUUGAUUGAAUUUGGCUUUGAAACUUUUAUGGCCUAUAUAUUAAUACGUUUAUUUAAGCCCUACAAAUUUCAUGAUUUUUGUAUUAGUAAUUUAUUUUAUAAUAAUCGAAGAUUGAGGGCUGGUGAUUUAUAUGUUUGCACUCCACAUAAAACCUUUCCAUUUAUGAAGUAUAGGAAAUAGUUUGAUGAGUAUAAUAGAUUAUUAUUACCUUUUUAUAUGAAUAUAAUAUUCACGGGUAAUAUUCAUAAUAAACUGCUCUUAAAAGAGCCCACGGGUCGUAAUGCAAACAUAAACGUGAUCAUCAACAAUUUUGCAAAUCAAAUCAAUUCUAGUUCAAGAUUGUCACUCCAUGCCUUGUGCAUUUGGAUAGAAUUGCCCUUUGGCAACAACGACAGUCCUUAUAGAAAACACACACUGUUAGGUAAAUAAGAGCACCAGCUCGGCCAUGCCAUCAUCCCCACGCCGGGGUGGACCACCUCAGCCGAGUGGUGCGAGCAGAACACUGAUAAUGAGCCUUCUACAAAUAUGGGCCGACCAGAGACGAGUACCGGCCAGAGGAAUAUAUCGACCAAAAACAUAUACCGAGUCGAUACCCAUCCCCCAAAGAGCGGGAACACGAUCUCACAAAAUCACGAUAGUUGCGCUUUUCCCAGAACUGUUGAAGGAGACGCGAAAUCCUACGUUUGCCCACAAUGUAGCAGUUAGAACCCCAUGAGGGGCUGCCACUACUCGAAAAAGGGGGGAUGAAGGGUGAAUGAAAAUGUGGGACAACAGCUAUAAAAGAGGAAGAAAUCAAUGAAGAAGAAGGGGGAAAAAUUUGAGAGAAGAGAAAACUCUGCCAAAUUGAAACCAGAUCAUUUUCAAUACAAAAUUGUGAGCUCAUUAUAAGCAAUUUAUCGAAUCUUAAUUGCACGGUUUUUCCGUAAACACCUUGUGCUAACUUAGGCAUUGGAGGGUUUAUGCCAGCAAAUCCACCGGCGUCUCUGAUCCAUUUUUGUGAACGCAGACUUAGUGGGAGAAGGAAGGAUAAUUCCAACUUCAGUGACUAGAGCUAUCGUCGAAGUAAGAAGAAAUUGACAUCCUCACUGUUGAUAACAUAAACGUUGGUGUAAAGGUCUGGUCGGGCAAAGGACGAGCAGAUUUUAGCAUUAACAUAUUGGCGCCGUCUGUGGGGACUUGAAUAAAAAGCUACCGGCAAAUUAGUAAUUACCAGAGAAGCAGCGAACGGUUAGGUAUGGAUGUGGCAAGGAAGGAUGCUUUGAGGGAGGACAAUGAAACUGUGGAGACAAUCACUCUCCGGGAAAUUGUGAAUGAAGCUCGAGAGAGGAUGAUGAAAGAUCGACUGGAGCGGAUGGAGAAACAAAUGGAGACGCUCGCAGCCAUACUGUAUGAGCUGAGGGAUGAGCGGAGAAGGGAUUGUGAAACCCCCGUGGGGAGAGAUGAAGUUGGAGCAGAACCCAGCCUCUAGAGGCGUAGAGUCGAGGAAAUCCCUCCGCCGGCAGACUAACCUAAUGAGGUGCAUCCCCAUAGAAGUACUGGUCGGGUUCCAAGAGAACGUGUGGAUGAAGGGAGGGACCAACCUCACCCCGGACGGGUACUGGAAAUUGAUGGCUGAAGGGCCAGUGUUGAUGAAGGAGAACUUAGACAGCGGUUGCAGAAUGCCGAACAGGAGCGAGAUCAGAUAGCUGCGCGUGAUCCUGAUCGUGCUGUAGAAUUGGAGGGAGAGGUGCGCAGAUUGGCGCAGGUGAUGGAGGAUAUUCAGGGCAAGAGAAAGCCCCCGAGUUGGAGGAUAAUGCUAGAUGAAGAGUCUCCCUUAUUAACCGAGAUCAUGGGUAUUGUAAUCCCAAGUGAUUUCCGCUUCCCUGACCUCAAAUACUCCGGGCGAAGUGAUCCGCUGGUGCAUAUUGAACGUUUCAACGACAUGACGGGUGUUCAGGGGUUGACACCAGCUCAGAGGUGCAGGGUGUUCCCAUUGACACUAGAGGGACGAUCCCGAGAAUGAUACAACAAGCUGUCACAGGGAAGUAUUAAAGGGUACGAGCAGAUGUACCAAGAGUUGGCUGAACAGUUUCGAGGAGCAGUGACCCCAGAGGAUGAUAUGAUGGAACUAAUGGGGAUGAAGCAGGAGAAACAAGAAUCCCUUCGGGAUUUUGUAAAACGAUACCACCAGGCCGUGCUUGAUUUGGGAGCUUUCAAUCAUCUGCAGGCGUUGAGAGGAUUAAAAGAGGGUAUGAGGAUAGGCCGGCUAUGGUAUAACCUAAGAAGUCCCCUGGUGCAGAAUUAUUCAGCAGGGUAUGAGCAGGCGAGGAGAGACAUUGAAAUCGAAGAGAAAAAAUCGGCAAGGAUAAAGAGUGAACAGCUGGAGGAGCUGAGACGAAAGGAAAGGAGAACCCCAAGUGGGAGCAGGUCGGGAAAGCGAGCUGGGGAAUCCUCACUGAUGGGUGCAAUAUCAGCUCGGUCUCGCCCUUACCCCAUGGCUCAGAGACUGCAACAGGUCCAACACAAUCGAGCUCAGCUUCCGCGCCCCCUAUUCCCGGAGCGGCAACGAGAAUUCCGGCAGUUGGCUAACCAUCCUUAUCACAACGCUCCCAGAGCACUAUAUACAGCCAACUCCAGAACUGGGCGACCAGGUCAGCUACCUUCAAUAUCAGCUCAGGACGAUAUUCAUGAUAGCCGAGCAGUCCAGCUGAUUGACCAGAGCUUGGCGUACAGACAAUACACCCCGUUAAAAGUCCCUAAGGAGGAGUUGUAUGAAAGAAUCGAGGGACGAGGCCUGCUGUACCCUCCAGCCCCUAUAACAAAACCUGCUCACCAACGGGAUAAGAGCAGAUUCUACAAAUUUCACAACACUCACGGUCACACUAUCAGCCAAUGUUGUGACCUAAAGAUUCAGGUGGAGGAUUUAGUGAGGAAUUGAUACUUGGAUGAGUAUGUAGAUGGAGUGUCCCCCGUCAUUGAAUCACAACACACGCGAGAUGAAGGAGUUGAGAGGGAUCUGAAACGUGAACAGCCAACCAUUCGUGUGAUAGCAGGAGGGCCAACAUUGGCUGGGGAUUCGAACAUGGCACGAAAGAACUAUGGGAGAUACGCCAUGACUGGCAAAGAGGUGCUUCUCAAUUUGCCAGCAGCCAAGAGAGCAAAAGUGCGGCAAGUUUCCAUUAUGUGGACAGAGGAGGACGAAGAGGGCAUUUUAUAUCCUUAUGAGGAUGCACUAGUGAUUAAGGCAUUGGUGGCUAGUACAGAAUUGCGGCGAAUACUUGUGGACACAGGCAGCUCAGUUGACAUUCUGUUUAAGUCGACCCUAUAUGAUAUGGGAAUUUUGGAUUUGAAGCUGGAGCAGACAAAUACCUCAUUGAAGGGAUUUGGAGGGGGAUGGUUAACCCCCAUGGGGAUCAUUGAACUCCCGAUUACUGUGGGGUCAAAGCCGUUUGAAAGAACGAUUAUGCUAGACUUUGUCGUGGUAGAAGAAAGAAGCCCUUACCAGAUGAUACUGGGGAGACCGUUCAUGAGGAUAAGUCAAUGUGUAAUGUCCACGCAUUAUCUGGUGUUGAAGUACAGAGUAAAUGGAGUUGUUGGCGUAGUAAAAGGCGACCAGAGAAUGGUAAGGAGCUACUAUACUACAGCGGCCAAGGAAACGCUGCAGGUUACCUUUCUAGAUAACCGAGGGGAUUCAAAAAAUGGUCGCCAAGAACCUGUUGAGAAGCUGGAGGGAGUUGUUGUAAGCAAGAGUAACUCGAGCAGAGUGGUUAAGGUCGGGUUAGAAUUGGGCGAAACAAUAAAAGGCGAGCUAGUGAAAUGCCUACAGUCCUAUGCAGAUAUAUUUGCCUGGUCUCAUGAGGACAUGCCAAAUAUUGAUUGCGGGAUAGCUUGCCACAAGCUGGCAAUCAAGAAAGGGGCAAGACUAGUGAGGCAGAAAAGGAGGUGAUUUAACCAAGAAAUGUACGAGGCCAUAAAUGCCGAGGUAGAGAAAUUGUUGAAAGCAGGAUUUAUAAGGGAGGCUAAAUACCCAGAGUGGAUUUCCAACGUAGUGUUGGUGAAGAAGGCCAACGGGAAAUGGCGAAUGUGUGUGGAUUUCACAGACCUUAAUAAGGCCUACCCGAAGGACAGUUUUCCCUUACCAAAAAUAGACCAAUUGGUGGAUUCAACGAUGGGGCAUAGUCUGCUCAGCUUCAUGGAUGCCUUCUCAAGAUACAACCAAAUAUCCAUGAACGAGCAGGACGAGAAGAGUACCACCUUUAUAACUAACAUGAGUUUGUUUUGUUACAGGGUGAUGCCUUUUGUCUUGAAAAAUACCAGAGCUACCUAUCAAAGGUUAGUGAAUAAGGUCUUCAAACCAUUAAUCGGUCACACUAUAGAGGUAUAUGUGGACGAUAUGAUCAUAAAGUUAAGAGAACCGAAGGAUCAUGUGAAGCACUUGGAAGAGACCUUCGAAUUGCUGAGGAGGUAUGAAAUGAAGCUGAACCCGGAGAAAUGUGCAUUUGGGAUCAGCUCUGGUAAAUUUUUGGGAUACCUGGUGAGCCACCGAGGGAUCGAGGCUAACCCGGAAAAAAUACGGGUGGUGAUAGAAAUGAGGUCCCCACGAACAGUUAAGGAGGUGCAGAGCCUUAUAGGGAAAUUGGCAGCAUUGAACCGAUUCAUUUCGCGAGCCACUGAUAAGUGCCACCCUUUCUUCCAAACUAUAAAGAAAGGGAGGAAUACGAAAUGGACAUCAGAAUGCGAGGAGGCAUUUGGACAGCUAAAUGAAUACCUAGCCCGCGCCCCGUUACUAUCAACUCCGAGAGAGGGUGACCAGCUGCUUUUGUACUUGGCAAUCUCUAAAUGGGUUACCAGCUCGGUCUUAGUCAGGGAAGAAGAAAGAAAGCAACAUCCGGUAUACUACACAAGCAAGGCCCUGGUAGACGCAGAAACCAGAUAUCCACUGAUGGAGAAGUGGGCGCUGGCUCUAAUAACGGCAGCACGCAAACUCCGACCAUAUUUCCAGGCCCACCAGAUUGUUAUGAUGACUGACCAGUCCCUUCGGCAAAUGCUUCAAAAACCAGAUGCAUCUGGUCGGUUAGUAAAAUAGUCCAUAGAGCUGAGCGAAUUUGACCUAUCCUAUAGGCCCCGAGGAGCAAUCAAAGUCCAAGCCCUGGCCGAUUUUAUGGUUGACCGUGCUGAAAAGGGAGAAGAGAUUCAGGAGGAACAACCAAUAGAGCAGGAGAAACCAAAGGGGGUGUGGCUGGUGAUGGUUGAUGGGUCACGUAGUGAACAGGGAUCUGGAGCAGGAGUUGUAAUACGGAGCCCAGAAGGGGUCGAGGUAUCCUAUGCAGUAAAAUUCGAGUUCCAGCUUACGAAUAACCAAGCUGAAUAUGAGGCCUUCAUUACUGGGCUCGGGCUUGCACACGCGCUACAAGCUGAAAGAGUAGAAAUCCAAGCAGAUUCCCAGCUAGUCUGCAAUCAGCUCUGCGACCAAUUCCAAGUAAGGGAAGAGAAGUUGGGGCUUUAUUUGAAGAAGGCGAAACAAAUAGUUGGACUCUUCAAAGAGGUAGAGGUAAAGUAGAUAUCCCGGAAUGAGAAUUACCGAGCAGAUAUGUUGGCUAGAAUGGCUGCAAUUGUAGAUCCAAAAUUACCUAAGUGAGUUCCACUAGAGGUGAGGACCUCGCUGAGUAUAGAGGAGGAAGUAGAGGUAAUGAGAGUAAGCACUGAAGAAUCCUGGAUGGACCCGAUUCUCGCAUACAUCCGCGAUGGCAUUUUACCGGAGGACAAAAGGCAAGCAAGAAAAUUAAAAUGCCGAGCAGCAAGGUACACGCUGGUUGAUGGGGUGCUCUACCGCUGAGAAUUCACCUUGCCCCUUUUGAGAUGUUUGGAUGAUGAAGAGGCAGAUUAUGUACUGAGGGAGAUUCAUGAAGGAAUAUGUGGUAAUCACUUGGGAGCAAGAACUUUAGCUUUCAAGGCACUCCGGCAAUGAUACUUUUGGCCAACCAUGCACCAGGAUGCGAAAAGGAUGGUAAAGAGUUGUAAAAUCUGCCAAAGCUUCUCGAGGUUCUUGCACAACCCCAAGAAAAGCUGACCACUAUGACAUCCCCAUGGCCUUUUGCUCAAUGGGGAAUCGACUUGAUUGGUCCGUUACCAAAAGGCCGAGGAGCGGCAGCACAUGCAAUUGUAGCAAUAGACUACUUCACCAAGUGGGUAGAAGUGAGAGUCCUCAGCCAAAUCACGGAGAGAAAGACGACAGAUUUUAUUUGGAAGAAUAUUAUCUGCAGAUACGGAAUCCCUUAUACCAUCAUUACAGACAAUGGGAGGCAAUUUGACAACAACAAUUUCAAAGAAUUUUGCCGGAACCUGGGGGUGGACCUGAAGUUCUGCACCCCCGCACGCCCCUAGGCAAAUGGACAAGUGGAAGCAGCCAACAAAGUAAUAAAGAAACUCCUGAAAACAAGACUGAGAGAGAAGAAGGGAGCUUGGGUCGACGAGCUACCAGGAGUACUGUGGGCUUACCGGACAACUCACAAAACUGCCACCGGGGAAACCCCGUUUGUUUUAACUUUUGGUCAUGAGGCGGUAGUCCUAGCAGAAAUUAGAGUAGGAACACAUCGGACAGAAUACUUCAAUAAAGAGCAAAACGAUGAACAGAUCUGCUUGAGCCUGGACCUGUUUGAGGAGAAAAGGGAAGGGGCCUCAUAGAAAGUGGCUCAGUGUCAGCAAAGGGUCAUGCGUUAUUACAACAAGAACGUACGCAUGAGGCAAUUCCGAGCAGGGGAUUGGGUACUUAGGAAGGUGAAUCAAAACACUAAGGAUCCUAACCAUGGCGCUCUUGGCCCGAAAUAGGAAGGCCCGUACAGGGUGAUACGAGCGACUGGACCAGGAGCUUAUAAGCUAGCGUACCCAGAUGGACGAGACGUGAAGAGGUCGUGGAACGCCGAGCACUUGAAAAAGUAUUUCUAGUAAGCAAAGUGCUCUACUAAGUCUUCAUUUUGAUAAGUUAUCUCUGUUAAAUGCAUGAUGACUUGUUACACAUGCAUAUAUUCUGUAUUUCUGUGAUGCAUUCAAAUUUCAAUAAAGAUAAAUUCGGCAUGAAAUCCCCCUACUAGCAAGGUUCACUGAGGCAAGCAAGUGCUUAAUCUUGCUCGGUCAACGAAAGGCCAGCAAGCAAUACUACAAAGUUCUACAAAGGCAAGCAAGUGCCUGUUCCUUCUCGGUCAACGAAAGACCAGCAGGCAAUUUUACGCAAUUUUCACUAAGGCUAGCAAGUGCCUAAUCUUGAUCGGUCAAUGAAAGGCCAGCAGGCAAUACUACAAAGUUCUACAAAGGCAAGCAAGCGCUUGUUCCUGCUCGGUCAACGAAAGACCAGCGGGUAAUUUUAUGGAAUUUUCACUAAGGCAAGUAAGUGCCUAAUCUUGCUCGGUCAACGAAAGGCCAGCAGGCAAUACUAUAAAUUCUACAAAGGCAAAUAAAUGCUUGAUCCUGCUCGGUCAACGAAAGACCAGCAGGUAAUUUUUACGAAAUGUUACUAAGGCAAGCAAGUGCCUAAUCCUGCUCGGUCAACGAAAGGCCAGCAGGCAAUACUACAAAGUUCUACAAAGGUAGGCAAGUGCCUGUUCCUACUCGGUCAACGAAAGACCAGCAGGCAAUUUUACAGAAUUUUCAUUAAGGCAAGUAAGUGCCUAAUCCUGCUCGGUCAACGAAAGGCCAGUAGACAAUAUUACAAAAUUCUACAAAGGCAAGUAAGUGCCUGCUCCAGUUCGGUCAACAAAAGACCAGCAAGCAACUUUACGAAAUUCUACUAAGGCAAGCGAGUGUCUAUUCCUGCUCGGUCGCCUAAAGGACCAGCAGGCAAAUCUACAAAUUUGGUUAUGACAAACAAGUGCCUAUUUCUACUCGGUCGAUUAAAGGACUAGCAGGCAAAGCUAACUAAAAGCGUUAAGAAAAUUUACAAAAAUGAUCUAUAAGCAAAACCACAACAGAAGAACCAAUAGAAAGCAUCUAGAAUUUAUGCUCAAAAUGUUUACAAAGCAGAUGAAAAUUUAGAGUUUCUACAAAAAUAGACCUAAAAAUUAGGAGGGUCGACGGCUUCAGUAGUUGAAGGAUCAGUAAUCUCGGGAGGUGAAGGAUCAGCAAUCUCGGGAGGUGGAAGAUCAGCAACACCGGGAAGAGGAGGCAUGGACCAUUGACCCACUUCAAAAACACGAUCCCCGACUUCCCCCUCAUGCACCCCAUCUAAAGGAGCCUCUACCUGAUCUCUGCACUCCAGCCUCUAGCUUGCUCAUGUCCAGCUCGGGAUAUUCUUCCUCAAGCACAGACAUGAUGCACUUAUAGCAGAAAGCAACCCCAGAGUCAUACUCUGCAUCCAGCCGAUCGUCCACAUCAACAUAUUUGCCUUUCGGCUCAGCCAACUGCUCAUUUAGGGAUUUGAUUUCUCCCUCAAGGGCGGUCCUCAAAGUAUCUCUUUCACUUUAAGUAGCCUGAAGAUCAGACUUCAGGUCACCCAACUCACCGUCAAGUUUGGAGGAGGUGGACUCAGCAACAACAACUUUCUCUUCCAGGUCCGUGAUCUGCUUGUUCAGCUCAGCCAGCAUCUCCUUUGAGCGAUCAGCAGAUUAAACCUUUUUCUUCAAAUCCUGAUUGUCAGCUUGAAGCCUCCUCUCAUGACGCGUGGCCCUGUUCUUAUAACAAGAAACUAUAGUGGCCAGCUUGAAGGAGACCCUCUGGACAGAACCAGCCAACUCACUGAGAUCCAUGCUCUCAAUGUCGUUGACCAUUUUCGGUCCCACUGACUUCCCAUAGUCUCUUUGGUACAGAGUCAGAUAGUCGCCUUGAUCCCGAGGCGGAAGAGGAGAGGAUCGGCCUUCAGAGUGAGUGCUGACCUCAGGACUCUUGUCGGAAGCUUUCUCCCCACCACUCUUACAAGGUAGAGGAGGGGGCAGCGUAGGAACAGGAGCCUUGGAAGGACCGACGCUGGUUUUCUUUGGAGGAGGAAGAGGGUUGCUGGAGUUGCUUGGAACCCGACCAUGCUUUCUAGUCAUAGCGCUAAGGAUCUUGUUAUCCAUUCCAGCAGUUAUGUCCACUAAACCCAAACCGACCAGGUUUGUUGGUGACAGGAGGUCUUGGCAGGUGGACGCGUUCACCAGAGCAGUUUCCACUUGAAGCAAAGGUCGGUCUUCAAGUUCCUUAAUCAAACCCUACGAUUCUGAAAGAGCAAACAAAGUUAAAGAACCCAAUAAAUGACAAUUUGAGAAAGAGUAUAGGCAAAAAAUGAACGACCUGAGGUGACAAAAUGCGUUGGAAGGUAAAUAUCACCACCCAACGAACUAGCUAUUGGACACCAACUUCCCCUAGUAAAGAAGAAUUUAUUCUUCUAAUUUUUGCAUGAAGAGGGGAAGCCGGUGAUUGGCUUCCUCUUCGCAGAGCUCGACAUGAAAUAAUACCAGCCUGCUUUCUUCGGCCUACUCCUCAGCUGGUAUAGAUGCUUUACUUCAACAAGGGAGGGCUCCUCUGAUCCACACCUAUCCCAUAACACAUACAUAGCUGAGAGAACCAUCCACCCGUUGGGAUGUAGCUGACCUGGGGCCAGGUGCAUACCACCCAGUAUCUUAGCAAAAUAACGCUGAAGGGGUAGUCGAGCUCCUAAUUUGAAACUCUCCAGGUGCAUCGUCACAUACCCCGGCGGAGGCCAACUCGGAACAUCACAUUUCCCAGGAACUAUAAGGAGAACCUCCUCAGGAAUGUUGUAGAGGUUCUUGAGCUUGAAUAGAUAAGUUUGUGUGGUGGCACAAGCUUUGUAGUCAAUAGGGUAAGAAUCCGCCUCUACCCUAUGGCCAAGGUUCCUUUUCUUAGGGUGCCCGCCCGGCUCGGAACUGCUUCCCUCACCAUUACCCACUUCUUCGGGGACCCCAACCCCACCAGAACUGUGGUUCUCACCAGAGUGCGACGCAGGUCCACUUCUAUUCCCUACAAGCUCUAGUUUAGGGGAGGGAGAAGUAGCCAAGGGACGUGGGUACUCAAGGGUAUCCCUACCAUGGGAGGGGCCUAUACUACAAGAGGGACGUAAAAAAUCAGUGGGUAUUGAUAAGUUAAGGUCUGAAUCCCCUGUUUCUUCAUUACUCACAUCAGCAAUUAACUUCCUUUUCCGAUUUGACAUAUCGAAAUCUCAAAAGAAAACAAAGCAAACCCGAGUAUACGGGUACAAAAGAGAAACAAUGAACCCAAUCAACAACAACCAAAGAAGGGGUUAAAGGCUAUACCUAGAAUAGACUGGCACUGGUAAGUGUUACUGUGAUAAAGGAAAAGACCCAGUAAAUGGAGAUUCCAGACGCAGAAAAAUAUGAACGAAGUUCGUAGGAGUUGUCUCACGGCAAAGAAGCGAAUAAGCAAAACGAAAGUAACUUUAGUUUAGGGAUUUGAAACGAAAAAGAGGAAAUGGAAGCGUUUGAGUGAUAGGAGUGACAGCUCAUCCACCGUAUAUCGAGGAUGGAUAGCCCGUCGUUUCAAAUUUCAAAUACGAAGAGUCUGGAGAUGCCACGUCACUAACCGUUAUAAGAGGCCAGACGAAACGCAAGCCUAGAUAUGCAAUGGACAUGCUCAUAAAGCCCCAUGUUCAGGUCGGAAUCUCCUCUGACAAGAGAGGGAACCUCAGGUCCAUACCAGUAAACAGAAGACCAGAUGGGAAGUUCCCCGGGCCGGUAAGAUUCGAUUAUCAGUUUUCAUUCUCAGCUCGUUUCACUUGCAAGACCAGAAACUGGGGGACUGGUGUUAGGUAAAUAAGAGCACCAGCUCGGCCAUUGUUAGAGUGCAAUUUAUGCACUAGUUUUGCAUUGUUUACUUCCCUUAAUAUCGAUGUUUUGCACUUAAUAAUAAUGAUUUACUUGUGUUUUACUUUUGUAGGUGCAAUUCUAUUGAUUUGUGAUAAAAUUGAGCUAUAAUAUUAUGUUUAAAGAUGAUUGUUCUCUUGGAGAAAUUUAGAGUGUCAGAAAAACUUUAUUGAUAAGGCGUGGGCGCAUGCUGUCAACUGCGGACCUGCAGUUUUUAGUUUAACGUGUUUUGUAUUUUUGGUUAUUUUUGUAAUUAUGAAUUUAAUAUUUCAGAUAUUAGUAUUUUAUUUUAAAUAGAACUCUAAAAGAGAAGAGAGAGAGAGUAUUUAAGGGAGGAAUCUAUUGUGAAAAAUGGGGGUUUUGGAUUGGAGAAAAAGAAAGAAACCCUAGAUCUAAUUUUUCUCUUUUCUUUAUGAAGAACUAAACUUAUUUUUCUGGUUGAAGGUUAAUGAAGCUUUGAUUCAUCACUACUGUGAGAUCUUUCUUAUGCUUUUAUUGUUUUAUUACUUUUUGGGUAUUUGUUUAUUCUCUGAAUUAGUUUCAUGAUUAUGUUUGUUAAUUAGGUAAUUGGCCACUAUUUAAUUAUCAACUUAAUCUAUUGUCAAUUAAAGGAUUUAUCGUAUGAAGAUUUUAAUAUUUGUGACAAAUAACAUAGCAGUGAGUUGUGUUAUGAGAGUAAACAAUCUAAUUUAAAUGAAUCAUCAUAUGUGUUGAUUAGGAUUUGGGUCUCUCUGGUUUUUCAAGCUGUCAAUUGAUUAAAUCAUAUGAUCGUAUCUAGGGUUGUCUAUUGAUUAGGGAAAUAUCCAACGGUCGUACCUUGGUUAUCGACUAGUUAAGGAGAGAUUGGCUAUUAGAGGGUCUCAAUAGUUAUAACCGGUCUAUUCAUAAGUAAUAAUAAUCUAUAUUUGAAUCAAUGAUCAGUAGUCGAAUCAAGCUGAGUUAAUUCCUUCAACCAGAGCUUUCUCCAAUUUGAAUUACAGCUUUAAUUUGUAUUCUUGUUAUUUUAAUUUAAUUUUUAUUAUUGUCAACAAUUCCUCCAUUUUACGUUUUACAUUUCAAAAGGAUUUAAAUAAUUAUCGAUCUCUGUGGACACGACCCUGCUCAAUCACUACACACAAUUUAUUUAGAGUAGGAAUUUAUUUUUGUUAGCUUCGACAACCAUCAAAUUUUGGCGCUGUUGUCGGGGAUUGGCGUCAUUUAUUUAAUUCUUUUUUACGUUUUACUUGGUGUAUGGUUCGUUCUUCUCGUACAGGUACACUUUCGUUUGAUCUUGAAAUUAAGAAGACAGCUCGCCAGCUGAGACAGCAGACGAAGCGAGCUAAGCAACGAUCCUCGUCGCCUUUGCUUUCUGAAACAGAUACAGUGCCUUAUUUAGUUGAAUCAUCUAACGAUUCAGAAGAACAAGUGAUGGAUAGAGCUGCACCUGUAGAAAGAACUCUUAGAGAGUUAGCUGAACCAGACUUGAAUCAGUAACCACUCUGCAUUCAAUAUGUAGACUUGGAGGUAAAUUUUGAAUUAAAGUCUGGUCUUAUUCAUUUAUUCCCAAGUUUCAUGGUUUUGCAGGUGAAGAUCCUCAUAAACAUCUUAAGGAGUUUCAUGUUGUGUGUUCAAGUAUGAGACCACAAGGUGUGACUGAAAAGCAGAUUAAGCUGCGUGCUUUUUCAUUCUCUUUAGAUGGGUUAGCUAAAGAUUGGUUGUACUACUUGCCUCCUGGAUCAAUUACAAUGUGGAAUGGUUUGAAGAAGCAGUUCCUCGAGAAGUAUUUUCCUACUUCAAGAGCUGCCAACAUCAGAAAAGAUAUUUGUGGGAUCAGACAACUUUCUAGAGAGACUUUGUAUGAGUAUUGGGAGCGAUUCAAACAAUUGUGUGCCAGUUGUCCUCAGCAUUAGAUUUCUGAUCAACUUCUUAUUCAAUAUUUUUACGAAGGACUAUCAUUGAUGGAUAGGAGAAUGAUAGAUGCUGCUAGUGGAGGCAUGUUGGUGAACAAGACCCCUACUCAAGGAAGGGAGUUGAUAUCAAAUAUGGCUGCCAACACACAACAAUUUGGCAGCAGGCAAGAUCCUACUUCAAGGAAGGUGAAUGAGGUAAAUAUUUCUUCUGUUGAACAACGUUUAUAUAAACUUACUUCUCUUGUGGAAAAGUUUGUUGUAGGUAAUGUGCAACAGGUGAAGACUUGUGGCAUUUGUUACAAUAUAGGUCAUUCAACCGAUAUGUGUCCUACACUUCAAGAAGAACCCAUUGAACAAGCCAAUGCAGUUGGAGGAUUUCCAGGCAUGCCUCAGAGGAGGUAUGAUCCUUAUGCACAAACAUACAAUCCGGGAUGGAAUGAUCAUCCCAACUUCAGCUAUGGAGUUAAGCCGUCAAGAUUCCCACAACAGUAUCCACCAAGACAACCAGCACCUCCACAGUCAAACUCCAAGUCAGGUAUAUCUCUUGAAAAAAUUGUUAAAUCACUUGCGACUAACACUCAACAAUUUCAGCAAGCAACUACAGCAAGCAUUCAAAAUUUGGAGAACCAAAUGAGUCAAUUGGCGACUACAGUGAGCCGUCUGGAGUCUCAAGUAUUAGGGAGAUUGCCUUCACAAUCUGAGAUGAAUCCAAAGAAAAAUGUUAGUGUUGUCAUCCUUAGAAGUGGGAAGGAGUUGCAAGAGCCUAGUAAGAAAGUGAUAAAGCAUGUAGAAGAUGAGCUUGAGAAGAAUGAAUUGAUGCCUAAAUCUCAAGAUGCGCAACCCACUAGAGCGAAACCCCUACCUAUUGUGAUACCUCAUUCUUUUCCAAGCCGGUUUGCAAAAUCCAAGAAAGAGGAACAAGAGAAAGACAUCCUUGAGACAUUUCGCAAGGUUGAGGUAAAUAUUCCUUUAUUAGAUGCUAUAAAACAAAUACCUCGAUAUGCUAAAGUCCUUAAGGAACUGUGCACCUCCAAGAGAAAAUUAAGAGGAGAUGAAAAAGUUCACAUGUGGGAGAAUUUUCAGCAGUUCUCCAAAAGAAACUACCUCUUAAGUGCAAGGAUCCAGGUAUGUUUACUAUCCCUUGUAAAAUUGGUAGUGUUAGAAUUGAAAAGGCUUUGUUAGAUCUAUGAGCUUCUAUUAAUGUCAUGCCUCGUUCCAUUUAUUCAUCUUUAAAUGUUGGUCCAUUAAAAGAAACUGGCGUGAUAAUUCAACUAGCUGAUAGGUCUAAUGCAUAUCCUGAUGGGGUAUUAGAAGAUGUCUUAGUACAAGUUAAUGAGUUGGUUUUUCCUGCUGAUUUUUAUGUACUUGAUAUGAAAUAGGAUAACUCCUCUAAUUAUGUCCCAAUUUUGCUAGGAAGACUUUUUCUUAAGACUGCUAGGACUAAAAUGGAUGUACAUAAAGGAACUCUCACUAUGGAGUUUGAUGGAGAGGUUAUAGAAUUCAAUAUGAAUGAUGCCAUAAAAUAUCCUAGUGAGGAACAUUCGGUAUUUUCUGUGGAUGUUAUUAACCCUAUAGCGCAGGAAGUUUUUUACAAGGAAAAGACGAAGACAUUUCAUGAUAGAAUGAUUUUGAGAAAAGAGUUCUCUAUUGGUCAAAAAGUUCUUCUUUUUCAUUUUAAACUUAAACUUUUUCCGGGUAAAUUACGUUCUUACUGGGUUGGACCUUUUAUUAUUACUAAUGUUUUUCCUCAUGGUGCAGUAGAGAUUCGGAGUCUGACCUCUGACAAAGUUUUUAAAGUUAAUGGUCAUUGCUUAAAAUCUUUUUAUGAAGAUUUUUUAGUGAAUAUUGUGGAGGAUGUGGCUCUCGAGAGUCCCAAUUAUGGAGAUUGAUGCAUAAAUGUGUCUAGCCAAAGACAUAAAACAAAGGCGCUUUUUGAGAGGCAACCCAAAUGAUUUAUUUAUUUUGGUUUUUGUUAUUUCUUCUUUUAAUUUUGAUUUAGAUUUUUUUUAAAUAAUGUGUUUGCUAAUAAGUACUUCUGUGAUUUUUAAAGUAAAAUGGUUUUAAGGCGUGCCCACGUGCUUAUUAGAAAAGUACUUCUGAAAUUUUUAGUGUCUCAAGUGAUUCAUCACUAAAAAAAAAAAUCGUUUUCUUUCCUAGCAACCAGCCGCUCCAGCCUUCACCAGAGCAACAGUUGCGUUCACCGAGCAGCCAUGCACGCCCAGCAACCCACGCAUCUCAGCAUCUCCCAUAGCAGCAGCCCGUGCGCAACAAUCCCACCAUUUCCGCCAAGCCCAUAGACGUUAUGAGGAUCAAAGCUCACAAUUCAGGGAAGUUAUUGCCUUUAAUCUUUUAUCCUUACGCUUUAAUUUUUAUGUGAGCUUUGAUUAUCUUACAUUGGGGACAAUGUAAUUUCUUUUGUGUGGGGGAGAGAUUUUUGCAUUAUUGAUGUCUGGAAUUAUUAUUUUCACUCUACUCAUCUAUUUUCACUCUACUCAUCCUUAAAUGAUUUUAGAGUUAGUAUGCUUCAUAUAUUAUUAAUUUUCUUUUCCUUUCUCUCUCACUACUCUUUUCCCAUAUAUCUCAAAUUAUUUACAUUUAUUUUUUUUCUAUCAUACUCUUUCAUCACUCACAUUUUAUCUUUCAUUUUUUUACUACAUACAUCUUUCUCGCUUAUUAUCCUUUUUACCUUUCCUUUCAUAUCUCAAUCAUACCUUCUUCUCAUUAUACACCACUAUUGAUGGUUGAUUCAUUUGAAGAGUGUACAUGAUUUGAUGGCAAAUUUACCAACUUUGUGAAGAUUUGAGCCUAUGAGCAACCACUUUGCUCUAAUUAUUUUUGUUAUGUGAAUAUCAAUCCUAGUUUGUUUAUUCUAGAACUUGCUUUGUUAUGCAUGUUGAAGCCACAUUACGGGAUUUUAUGCAUUAAAAUGAUAAAGGCAAACCAUUUACCAUUUUUCUAUUCUCCAUUUUCCUUUUUCUCUACCCGAAGACCUUUAUUUGAGGCUUAACCAUUACCCAUCUAAUUCUCUCCGUCUACUUAACCAUUUUUAUUCUUUUUGAGCCUCAAUUUAAGGAGAUUUUUAGACUCAUUGUGUAGAUAUAUUUUGUUACUUUUUCUACCUUGUAUUAAAAUUUCUCAAUUAGAUCAACAAGCAUUAUGCUUGAAUAAAAUUGUGCAAGGUUCGUUUCUUUUGUUUGAUUAAAAAAAACAAAAACAAAAACAAAAAAAAGAAAAAAGAAAAGAAAAAUAAAAAUCGAAAAAAAAGAGAAAAAUUUUACAUUCUUGGUGACUUGAGUAGAAAUAAGCAUUUUGAUAUCAUAAGUUCAUUCAAUGAGUUCAUUCUUCUCAUUUUGAUCUCUUUUUCUUUCAUAGACUUUUCUUUUUCAUUUAACCUAUUUAACUCCGUUACAACCAUUUUAAGACCCUUAGAUUUUUGCAUUUAAUUCAUGUUUUGUGGAUUGAGAUGUGAUAUAUGAGCAAGCUUAUGGUAAUAGCAUUCUUUGAUUUGAUUUGAGUGCAUAAAUGACACCCUAAACACUUUGAGUGCAUGGAGUGAAGUUAUUGAGAGGGCUAUUAAAUGUUGUUGCACUUGAAUUUUGAAUGGAUCUUCUUAGUGGUUGAAUGUUCUUAUUCUAUCUUAUGAAAUUCUAUGCUUUAAAAUACUUGUCUCUCGAAUGUUGAACGACUUAAUUUCUUGAGGUUUACUUGCUUAAAAUUGCUUUUGCAUGAGUUGAGAUGAGAAUUGAGUGGAGAUUUGGGAUUAGUCUUGAGUUAUAUGCUUGAGGACAAGCAUCAUCUUGGUGUGGGGGAAUUUGUUAGAGUGCAAUUUAUGCACUAGUUUUGCAUUGUUUACUUCCCUUAAUAUCAAUGUUUUACACUUAAUAAUAAUGAUUUACUUGUGUUUUACUUUUGUAGGUGCAAUUCUAUUGAUUUGUGAUAAAAUUGAGCUAUAAGAUUAUGUUUAAAGAUGAUUGUUCUCUUGGAGAAAUUUAGAGCGUCAGAAGAACUUUAUUGAUAAGGCGUGGGCGCGUGCUGUCAACUGCGGACCUGCAGUUUUUAGUUUAACGUGUUUUGUAUUUUUAGUUAUUUUUGUAAUUAUGAAUUUAAUAUUUCAGAUAUUAGUAUUUUAUUUUAAAUAGAACUCUAAAAGAGAAGAGAGAGAGAGUAUUUAAGGGAGGAAUCUAUUGUGAAAAAUGGAGGUUUUGGAUUGGAGAAAAAGAAAGAAAUCCUAGAUCUAAUUUUUCUCUUCUCUUUAUGAAGAACUAAACUUAUUUUUCUGGUUGAAGGUUAAUGAAGCUUUGAUUCAUCACUACUGUGAGAUCUUUCUUAUGCUUUAAUUGUUUUAUUACUUUUUGGGUAUUUGUUUAUUCUCUGAAUUAGUUUCAUGAUUAUGUUUGCUAAUUAGGUAAUUGGCCACUAUUUAAUUAUCAACUUAAUCUAUUGUCAAUUAAAGGAUUUAUCGUAUGAAGAUUUUAAUGUUUGUGACAAAUAACAUAGUAGUGAGUUGUGUUAUGAGAGUAAACAAUCUAAUUUAAAUGAAUCAUCAUAUGUGUUGAUUAGGAUUUGGGUCUCUCUGGUUUUUCAGGUUGUCAAUUGAUUAAAUCUUAUGAUCGUAUCUAGGGUUGUCUAUUGAUUAAGGAAAUAUCCAACGGCCGUACCUUGGUUAUCGACUAGUUGAGGAGAGAUUGGCUAUUAGAGGGUCUCAAUAGUUAUAACUGGUCUAUUCAUAAGUAAAAAUAAUAUAUAUUUGAAUCAAUGAUCAGUAGUCGAAUCAAGCUGAGUUAAUUCCUUCAACCAGAGCUUUCUCCAAUUUGAAUUACAACUUUAAUUUGCAUUCUUGUUAUUUUAAUUUGAUUUUUAUUAUUGUCAACAAUUCCCCCAUUUUACGUUUUACAUUUCAAAAGAAUUUAAAUAAUUACCGAUCUCUGUGGACACGACCCUGCUCAAUCACUAUACACAAUUUAUUUAGAAUAGGAAUUUAUUUUUAUUGGCUUCGACAACCAUCAGCCAUGCCAUCAUCCCCACGCCGGGGUGGACCACCUCAGCCGAGUGGUGCGAGCAGAACACUGAUAAUGAGCCUUCUACAAACAUGGGCCGACCAAAGACGAGUACCGGUUAGAGGAAUAUACCGACCAGAGACAUAUACCGAGCCGAUACCCAUCCCCCAAAGAGCGGGAACACGAUCUCACAGAAUCACGAUAGUUGCGCUUUUCCCAGAACCGUUGAGGGAGACGCGAGAUCCCACGUUUGCCCACAAUGUAGCAGUUAGAGCCCCAUGAGGGGCUGCCACUACCCGAAAAAGGGGGGAUGAAGGGUGAAUGAAAACGUGGGACAUCGACUAUAAAAGAGGAAGAAAUCAAUGAAGAAGAGGGGGGAAAAUUAAGAGAAUGGAAAACUCUACCAAAUUGAAACCAGACCAUUUUCAAUACAAAAUUGUGAGCUCAUUAUAAGCAAUUUAUCGAAUCUUAAUUGCACGGUUUUCCCGUAAACACCUUGUGCUAACUUAGGCAUUGGAGGGUUUACGCCGGCAAAACCACCGGCGUCUCUAAUCCUUUUUUUGUGAACGCAAGCUUAGUGGGAGAAGGAAGGAUAAUUCCAACUUCAGUGACUAGAGCGAUCGUCGAAGUAAGAAGAAAUUGACAUCCUUACUGUUGAUAACAUAAACGUUGGUGUAAAGGUCUGGUUGGAAAAAGGACGAGCAGAUUUCAGCAUCAACACACACAAUACCAAUAAAUCUAACAACAAACUCGUAAGAAUGAAAUUAAUUUUAUUUUCCUGUAAGAAUAAAAUUUAAUUAAAAAAUUCAAAGAAUUGCCAAUCGUUUUCUUAGAGUUUAAAAGUAAUAUUGACUACUGAAUUUAUCCACAAAUUUUUAAAUUAUGAUUUUUUUGGGUUGGUUCAUAGACAAGGACAUUAUUGUAAUUUUAAAUCUCAUAAAUAAAAGAUCUAAAAUUCUAUGAAAAAAUAUACUCUUUUUUAUUAGCUUAUAUUUCUUAGAAAGUGCUCCCAAAUUAUACAUAUAUAUAUUUUAAAAAAAGUAUUAUUUUAAAAUUUUCUAAUGUUUCUCCUAAUUUGCUCUGUUAUAAUUGUCAUGAUGAUACAAAAUCAGGAUAAUCAAACAAACAAACAUUAGUUAGCCCUAGUUAUCAAUAGAAGAAACGAUAUUAAAUAAAAUUGUCAUUUUCAACAAAGAAUAAUAAUAAAUAUAUGAUAAAAAAAGAAUAAUUAUAUCACUCUAACCGAUAUUUACGGGAAAAAAAAAAAUCUCACAGGAUACGUAUUGCGGUGAAACCUUUGUUAUUUGUGUGUGAAUAUUUGGCGGCAACUAUUAAGGCAAAAGCUAAUCCAAUAUUAAGACAAAUAAAUAAUUAUUUAAAGGUAACAUUUACAAAUUCACGAGUUUUUUUUAUAUUUUUUUUAUCAAAGGAUGUUUAUUAAUUACAAAUGAGAAGAACUUGGAAAAACAAUAUAUUUAAAUACAAAUAAACUUUAAUAAGUCUCUUUGACGCAAUGCAUUAUUUAAUUAUUUAAUUUGUUUUCAUCUACUUUGGUGCUCAAAUCAAUUGAGAGAUUCAUUCUGGAACCAACUUUUGGCCAUGGCUACUCGUCCUGCAAAAAUAGAACAAAUUGCAGAAACAUUACUGGACUGAAACUGCUACAGAGCAUGAUCAGAGAUAUGAGGAUGAGCACACUUGAUUAUCUUCUAGCUGACGUGUAACAGUUAGUUUGCUGAGUCAGCAUUAUUGCUUUUUUUUUAAUUAAUAAAGGGCUCUAAAUAGAGCUAAGGCAAUACUAAACGGGAGUGUGCAACUCCAGAAACAUCAUUGUUUAAAAUGUUAAGCAAAUUUAAAGGAGUAGACUGAAAAUAAUGCAGACCCACAGGAAAAGCUAAACUAUAGGUAGCAAGAAAGUCUGCUGCUGCAUUUGCUUCCCGAUAAAUAUGAUUCAUUUGAAUCAACCAAUCUCGUCCGAUUAGCUCUUGGAUGGCUGUGAUUAGAGAAAGAUGCUCAUUGAUGGUGGGGUUCGAAUGAGAGACUAGCUGCAAGAUGCACCUGCUGUCCACUUCCACUAUCACCCUACGAUAACCAUGAAGCCAAGCUAUGGAUAACCCAUGAAAUAAACCCCACAACUCAGCAGAUGUUACUGAGCAAAAGCCUAAGUUAGCACAAUAUCCGAUCUCCCAAACUCCUCUGUAAUCACGAAUGAGUCCGCCAGCUCCUGCAUGGUCUGAAUGCUUCUUGGCACCAUCAGUGUUCAACUUAACCCAAGGCCAAGUAGGAGCACCCCAGCGAAUCCAUUUUUCGACACGGCUCUUGUCAGUGGCGGUAAGGGAGUCAGCAUUAUUGUUAACAAACUCAUUAAGCAUGUAUAGGCGUUAUAACAAACUCUAGUCAGCUUCUUUACAAUGUAUAAAUCCUGAGCUUAAAACAUUUUUGUAUAAUACAAUUUUAAUUCUAAUAAAUUCCAGAUUGAUUCUUCUUCAUAUCUUUUCUUCAUUUUCUCGUUGAUUUUCUUACUUACCAAACACACAUUUACAUAAUCUUCGAGAAACCAUGCAGCAAAAUUGACAUGGAAGGAAUUUAAUAGAGAAAGAGAUAUGGGCAUUGAAAGUUACCUGAGAUGAGUUGCUGCAUUAUUUAUAUUCUAGAACCCUACAAACUUACAGAAAGGAUUGAGGACAUCUUUAGAAUUGGCUUGAUCCCACUCCAAUGAUUCCCAUAAUUCUUUCUUUAUCUCAAUAACUUUGAGCGCAGGGGGUGGAGAUGGUUGCCCGUUAUCAAGCAGAGAAAGCGAAAGAGAAAGCCGCUUCAAUUUGGGGCAGCCGCGUACUUCAAUUUCUUGGAGAGAAUUACAAACCAAUACCCCAUUAUCACUGCAGAAGCUCUUAAAUUCUAGCAAGUUAGAAAAACGCAACUUCUUCAAUCUAGGAAGUGUAAUGAUGGUAUUUGUUGCUAAUUCUUUCUCAGUUUCUUCAUCCUCGACCGCUGCUAUCUCCUCGAUUGAAUCGCACUCUAUGACUUCGAGAUCUUCCAAGUUUUGAAGGGCAGGCAAUAACCGAAGCGAGAACAAAUUUUUUAAAUUAGGACAACGACCAAAUGAAAGAACUUUAAGAUCAUGUGAAAACUUGCCAAUGUUAACUAAUCCUUGUUCCCUUGGUAAAACAUCAUUUAAGCUUGCAACGUCGUCGACCCAAUACAUAUCUAAACAUUGAACAUCUUCUGGGAGCACAAUGGGUUCUUCUCUUUCACAGAUUUUGCAACCUUCUAAGAAUACUGAUUUAUCUACUUUGAGAUCAGUAAUCAGAAAUCUCCCCAUGCCAAAUGCCGACAGCAGAAGACAAUAAUUUUUCGAUCCUCGACCAUCUGUAGAUUUAACAUAUAUGUUGAAAUCUUUGAGUGUAGAAAAAUGGCCUUCAAAAGUGUCCAAUCUAUCGCUCAAUCUAGCUGCCUCUUCCACUGUUUCUCGUAAAGCUUCAUUCCCAAAAGAUAAUUUCAAUUUGUAGAGAUUACGUAGUCUAGGUAAUAUACCAGUCGGGAACUUCUUCAGCGGCGGUGAAGAGAAAUAAAGAUGACUAAGGUUUUCCAACAUUUCCAUACCUUCUGGGACUUCUUCAAUCGAUGUUACUUCGAGGUCCAAGUACUGGAGAGCCAACAGCUUUGCCAAAGAAGGAACUCGCUCUAAGUUUUCACACCAUCGAAGCAACAACGAUCUUAGAUUCAUCAAGUCAGAGACGGAACUUGGCAAGACUUCAAUGUUGGUGCGAGAAAGAUUGAGAACCUUCAAACCAUGCAUGUGCACAAAGAAACAUUCAGGAAUCCUCUGUAAAUGUUCAUUGCAUUGUAGCAACAAAGUUGAAAGAAUGUCACAAUGUGGUGACAUAUUUGAAGGGAUCUCCUCGAAGUCAUUCUCCAUCAGUGAAACUCUCUCGAGAUUCGCUUUCCAUUCUUGUUCACCUGGAAAUUCCCGUAAACGUUCUCUAGCUUUCACCAUGAAUAAAGGACUCUCGCUUGUAAUGCGCAACGCCAUGUCUCUUAUAAGAUCAUGCAUCUUCACACAACUACCAUCUUCAGCGCUCUCCAAUAAGCAGCAAUUUACAAGCCUGUUCAAUAUAGUAUGCCCUCUAUUAUAUUUUACUCGCACAUCCUUCACUUCUUCGAUAAACCCUUCUGCAAUCCAGUGAUCUAUCAGCUCAUCCUUUGGGAUGGCAAAGUCUUCAGGAUACAGUGCACAAUACAAGAAGCACUGUUGGAGCUUUUCAUCUUUCAAGCGAUGGUAACUGAAUUCUAAUCGCCCUAACACUUUAGUAUCUACGUCAUUCAAACUUCUCAGCCGUCCACGCAAUUCAUUGAGCGCAUUUUGCCAUUCAUAAAUUUCUUCUUCACCGCUCAUGGAAGCAGCUACAGUUACAAUUGCCAGCGGUAAACAACCACAUUCCUCAACAACGUCGUUUAUGAUUUCUUUAUUCAAAGCUGGAACUUGCAAAAUGCUGCAGCCAACUCCGUCUAUAAACAAAUUAAAUGCCUCCUGUUUAGAAAGCAAUUCAACUGCGACUUGUUUACACUUCAUAGAACGACAGACCCUAUGUGAACGUGUGGUUAUCACCAAUUUGCAUCCGUUCUCUUCACUAGGCUCAGGGAUUCCUACUUCCUCGAGAGGGAAUGCUUCCCACAUAUCAUCUAGUAUCAACACAAACUUCUCUUUAGCUUUCAACAUUCCUAGCAACCUCCCUGCACGUCUUACUUUAUCUUCAUUUUCUGAAAGACUUUGUUUCAAUGCAGUCGCAAUCUCAGUUUGCAGUUUAAUAAGAUCAAGUGGUUGAGACACGGUGACCCAAAUCACAACAUUGAACUUAUUAGUUUCUUUCUGGAGUCUGUUGUUAAUUUCUUUCAUGAUAGUUGUUUUACCAAUACCGCCCAUACCCCAAACUCCUAUCUUUGUGACCUUAUCACCCAUCAAAUCCUCCCAAAUUCUUUCCACAACUUUCUUCGUCUUUUCGCCUGCUAAUGUUGCCGUGGUCAACGUCAAUCCUCUGGAUGGGGGUGCAUCAAUCACCAAACUAGUGAAAGAACGACCCUUUUGAUGAUACUCGUUCACUUCUUCAAUCUUCUCCUCAGCAUGUUUCCCCAAACGCGCACGUGAGAAAUAUUUUCCUUUCUUCACAUCCUCCUCAAUACUAUGUGCUUCCCUGUUGAUCCUUUCUACGUUUUCCAACCAAUCAUUGACUUCAUUUCUUGGUUGUUUGUUCCCCAGAUCACACUCUGCCUUCAAUGUUGCUUCUAUAUCUGCUUUCUUGCUAUUUAACUCCUGUAAUACUCUUUCAAGUUUUUUCAUUAUUUCACUGAGCUUUCGGUGGCGGUGAACAUAUUGGCAUAUCGGUGGCCCCACACACUUAAAAAAUUCAAGGAUUGUUCCUAUAAAAUCCAUAGGCAGGUCCUACAAGUAUAUCACUAUAACAUUAGUGUAUAUGAUUUCUUCUGGAGCAAUUUCAUUUAUCAAAAUUGCAUCAAAUUUUGGGAUAAAAUGUUAAACCUACCGGAAUAAAGAUCAUAAUAUAAUUUCUUUGAACUAAUUCGUCAAGUUUUAAAUUUUAUUUUUGUGGCUUUAGAUUAGCUUUAAAUUUUCCUUCAACUACGAAACUAUACUUUUUUUUUUCAAGCAAAUAAUGCCUCACUUUUUUUUUUCUUUUCCUUCUCUUUUGUACAUAAUUGUAAUUUUCCUUCCAUACGGUUUAUGUACGAACCCUAUGUCUAUUUUUUUUUUUUUUUCAAUCAUGAACUAUAACCGUUAAACUCAUGUUUUCUAAUUUUUAAGUGAUCAAGUUUUCUACUCUAAGCAAGUGAAUUGUUGAAUUAAAGAAAAAUACUGCAGUGCCCUUAAUUAUAAAUUACAUUAUGGAAAUUCUGGUGCUUAAAAUUUUUAUUAAAACAUGGUUAUUCAACAUACUUUUUAUGGUGCAAAGAAUCCCGUAGUGUAGUUUAAAAAGAUAAAGUUAUUUGUACUUUUAGUAAUUUUAUAUCUAUUCAGGACUGAUGAAAUAAGAUUUGGGAUUCAAUAUUAUCACUCAAAUUUUAAUUUAUUCCUUUAUUAUUUUUCAAAUUUGGCAGUAGCCCCUAUGACGCUGGGUAUGAUAUGAGCUAAACAACUCAAGCAUUUAACUCAAGAACCGGAUUUGACAAAUUUCCAUGGUAUUUUUGCCAACUCUUGAUUCUUUGGGAAAACCGCAGAUUUAAAGACAUUUGUUAAAACUAAUGGUCGAAUUCUAUUUUGUUUUUUUCAUCUUAAUCUAGGAUACUCAUUUUUUGCUUCUUCUUCUUCUUCUUUUUUUACAAUUUUUCUUCUUUUAAUUUUAGUAUUUUAUUUUCAUCUUACUCUUUCGAGAUUUUUCAUUAUUUUCAGUCAAUUUUCAGUAGUUUUAUUUAUUCUUGCUACAGUACGGUUUGUCAUAAAUUAGAAUUCUAACCAAAUAAAUCAGUCCAAAAAUCUAAACUUUUCUUCCUUUAACUUUUAGUCUUUUAUUUUAUUAGUCCGUCAGUUUGAUUUUAUUUUUUUAUUUUUGUCUCCUCUAAGUGGUUUUCAUUUUUUUUAAUUUCGGUUCAAAUUUGUUAUUAAUUAAAAGGAACAAAUCGGUUCUUAAAUAGCUAAACCGACACAAACCCAUUACUGCAUAAUAAUAAUAAUAAUAAUAAUAAUCAAAAUCCGACCAUUAGAUGGCAUAAAUCAAUAAAUGAAAAUUUGCAUCUCAAUUUAAGAUGCCAGAAGAACUAUUAGACUUUAGUGAUGAAACAAUAUUGCAAUAUGAUUUAAAUGAAAAGAUAAGUUACCUGAAUCAACUGGUUGUUGUUCGUAGCUUCCUCAAAUGUUUGUUAAUUAGGAAGGAAGAAACCAACCUAUGACAAGCUUGAAGGUAAAACAAUAUCACUUUUUGAAUGAUAAUAUCCUUUUCACUUUGUGGAAAAAAAAAUAAAUGAUUGAGAAUCACAAUGAAACAUUCGCUAUAUCAUGAAAGCAGAUAAUGUAGUAAAUAAUAGAUGAAGCAAUUAAUCAAAUGAUGUAACAACAUGGUAAUGAAUCAAUAAAAGAAGAGAAUCUAUUUUGAGGUAAUUAAGCAACAAUAUUUGAUUACGUUAAAUUAAUUCUUUACUGUGGUUGAAAAAUAUAGAUUCCUCUUCUUAUAAAAGGUCUUCAUCUUCGUAAAAAAGCCUAAAUAACUAGAUAAUUACAUUUAAGUUUGAUAGCACUAUCUUAAUUUGUGCCACUGCAUUUGGAAUUGUAGAAAAUCAGUGUUUUGGUGGGCUUGUGUUACAUUUCAUCACCGAUCCCCCACUACCACAAACAUCAUUUUAGAUAUUUAAAUAAUUUUUAAUGUUUAUUUAAUUAAAUUGGUUUCAUUAAGUUCAGUGAUGAGACUUGAUAUUUUUUCUAUAUACAAUCCCAAGUAAUUCAAUCACACUAAGGGCAAAGAGUUCAUAGAAAGAAUCAUUUCUGGUCAGGACAAAAAGAAGUUCGUAUAAUGAAAAAUAAAUUCUAAAUCAUUUAUAACAUUAACAAACACAAAAUGAAUCAAAACGAAGAAGUGUUAUCAUGGAAAAAAUGAUUUAAAAAUAUGAUUGUCGAUAUGAAAUCAGUUAAAAAUAUAGUAGUUAAUUUAAAAUGAUUGUAUAAAUUUUGAGUUAUUAACCUCAAGCAAUCCAAUAAAAGAAUAGAGUUGUUUGGUAACAAAAAUUGUUACCUUUGUAGUAAAAAGUUUUAACCAUUUAUUAUCUAGAUUAAUAAAUAAAAUUUAUUAUCUCAAUUUAAGAUGUUUGAAGAACUAAUGGUAUCACAGAUAAAAUAAUUCAAUAGUGCAAUAUAACCUAAAACAAAGAUAUUUGAUUACCUAAACAAAAUGGUAUUUGUAGCCUCAAAUGUUUGUUAAAGGAGAGAAACCACUAAAAGUCCUGGAUCAUCCACUAAUAUUAGUUUCAUGACGUGUUUCAUUCUUUUUAUUAAUAUUUUUUUUUGUGCAUUGUCUUAUUUCUUUUAAGGGGCAAAGAACAUACUUACUAUUUUUAAUCGGCUUAAAUAAACAUCAAAGGCUAUAUAGCAACUAGAAUGCUUAAGAAUAUCCUUAUUCUCAUUUGCAAAACAAACGUAAAUAAUAAUGAACAAUUCAAAAUAUAAAUUUAAGUUGUUGAUUCAAAAUUAUUAUAUAAAUUUUGAGUCAUUAGUCUCAUGUAAUUUAAUAAUCGAUAUAAUUGGCUGGUAACAAUAAAUACUACAUUUUAACUAAAAAUUUCAAUUGUUGGAUUGCAUAAAUUAAUGAAUGAAAAUUUGUAUCUCAUUUUAAAUGUUUGAUGAACUAAUUGCAUUACAGAUAAAAUAAAUAUAAUCUAAAAGAAAGGAUAACUUACCUGAACAAAUUAGUUGUUGUAGCCUCAAAUAUGUUAAGAGGGAGAAACUAAUGAGCCUGAAGGAGAAAUAAGAUUACUUUUUACUGAAUGAUAAUGAUCUUUGUACUUAUUGGAAAAUAAAAAAAUGUGAAGGAUCAUAAUGAAAGCCAACAAAUAAAGUAAAGAUUAAUGUAGCCAAUAACAAAUAAAGUAAAGUAUCAAAUGACAAUUAAUCAAUAAAAGCAAAGAAUCUAUUUUUCAAAUAAUCAAGCAAAAAUACGUGACUACAUCAAAUUAAUUCUUUAUAAAGAAAAUGGUUUAAAAAUAUGAAUGUCGGAUAUUAUCUGAACUAAUUAUAAAAGAAACCGGCAGUCAAUAUCAUCUACGAGAGAAGAUAUCUAAUUACUCAUGUAAUGAAAAAAAAAAAGCAAAGUAAGAAUUAAUCGUGACUGAUAACAAAUAGAAGAAUUAAUGUAGCCAAAACCAACAAUAAAUAUUUGAUAAAGCAAGGAAUCAAAUGGGUGUGCAACAUCUCAAGCCUGAGAAUGUAGCUGGCUUGAAGUAUUAACCAAGCAAGGAUAUACCAAUCACGUAAAUUGAUUAUGUAUUGAAGCAGAAAAGUAUAGAUUCUUCUACUUUUUUUAGUUUUUUUAUUUUUGGUUUUCACAGGGUAUAGAUUCUUCUAUUUAUUAUCAUGUCUUCAUCUCUAUUACAAGCCCUAAUUAAUUAAAGUACAUAUUUUUUAAAAACUUUUCUAUAUAAUUUUUAAGAAAAAAAUCAUCCACACUCUCAAGAUUGGUUUAAAUGAUCACAUAAAUUCUUAGGUUUCAUAAAUGGUCAUUAAGACUUUUUUUGACAUUUAUAACCUUGAAUUGUAGUUUAAACUUUUAUGAUAAGUACAAUAGAAUACUAAGAUAAAAAUAUUAAAUAAAUAGCAUAUAUAUAUAUAUGUCAUGCAAACUAUUUUUAAUAUUAAGAUAUUAUUAGUUUGCCAAAUAGAUUUUACUAAAACCUAAAUCCAGUAAUCCAAAAAAUAAUUUUAAACUUACGCUGAUAUAGACAUAACAUAAAAAAAUGUAAUAUAAAAAAUAUUAUAAAUAAAAUACUUAAUACGAAUUUUGUAAGUUUUUUUGAAUGUUAAAUAUAAUUAUUUUCUAUUAUUAAUCUAUGAAAAAAUUCAUUAAUAUUAAAAAAUUAAUUGUUAAUAAUAAUAAUAAUAAUAACAGUUUUGUUAAUUUAUAAAAUAUAUAAUAAUUGAAAUAUUAAAUAUUAUAUUUGCAUUUGUUAUAGAAUUUUACUCAAAGUCAAUCAAAUUUAAUGUUGUUAUAAUUUUAUUUAGUAUUGAACAAUUAUUUAUAUAUGAUCAUUUAAUCAAAACUUAACGGUGUGAGUGGGUUUUUCUUUCCCUCUAAUUUCUAAUGUCCUAACGAUACGUUAUACUCUUCUUAGCUUAGAUAUCAAUAUUCAGAAAUAAAUUGGACACAACCGUUACCUUUUAUGGCAAAAAGUGUAACAGAAAUUCUUUUUUUUGGACAAAGACCUCCCUUGAGGUUUGGACUAAUAACAAACUAGUUAUUUGUGUGCUAUAUACUGCUAGAAGAACCCAAUAUUACGUGAAUACCCCUAUCAGAUAAAGUUACCAAAAUGACCUCAACUGGAAAGUUUCUAAAUAAUUGUGGCGCGGUCGAUGCAGUGACACCUCACCACAACUAUGGACUGUGAGUCUGUGAUGCCAAAUGUGUCCUUCUAUUUUAUUGAGCACUUUCUUAAGUAAAAAAACCAAAAAGCCAAAAAAGUGUUCACCAGAUCCACCGCCGACAAUAGAUUGGCCUUGGUUGGUAACGUUGUUAUGUUGGAUAUUUUAUUUAAGAUAUGAUUGUUGGAUAUUUUAUGAGUUAAAAGAAAUUAGUAGAAAGGAGAGUGGUUAAUUUGAAACAGUUGUAUAAACUUUGAGUCAUUGACCUCAUGCAAUCUAAUAAAAGAUAGAGUUGUUUGGUAGUAAAUUAGUUAUUAGGCGGCCUAAUUCGAAGAAUGAAAAAUGUUUAUCUCAAUUUAAGAUUUUAAAAGAACUAAUAGCAUUACAAAUAAAAUAAUUCAGUAGUGCAAUAUAAUCUAAAUGAAAGAUAAGUUAAUUAUCUGGACAAAUUAGUUAUUGUAGCCUCCUCAAAUAUUUGUUAAAGGGGAUAAACAACUAAUCCUGAAGGCAAAACAAGAAUAUUACAUUUUGCUUAAUGAUAAUAAUCUUGGUGAUUUUCUGAAAAGAAAGAAAAUGAUCAAGAAUCGUAACGAAAUGUUAGCUUAUGGAAGUACGGAGUAAUUUAGGCAAUAAUAAAUAAAGCAAUUGUUAGCUUAUGGAGAGAAUCUGUUUUCAAAUAAUUAAGCAAAAAUAUGUGACUACAUUAGAUUAAUUCAUUAUGAAGAAAAAAUGUUUUCAUAACAAAAUGACAUAACAUGUCGGAUAUUAUCCGAGAAUAUAAAAGAAACUAGUAGUACAAUGACAUCUUCUAUUUAUAUUUUUAAUUACCUCAACAAAUGGGUUGUUGCAGCUUGUUUCUUCCGAAGUUUUUUAAGGUAGACAAAACCAAGAAGCAUUCGAGGCAAAACAAAUAAUGGAGGUUCUUUAAUUUGCAGGAUGAAAAUAGUCUUUAUGAAUAAUAGAAACAACACCAAAGUAAGAACUGAUCAUGAUUGAAACGCCUGCUUCUAUAUAUAUAUAACUUAAACAACAGAUUUAAUGUAGCCAAAAACCGACAAUAUUUGAUGAAGCAAGGAAUCAAAUGGGUGUGCAACGUAGCAAGCAAGAUAAUGAAUCAAGGAAUAAAGGGAAGAAUAUAGCUAGUUUGAAGUAUUAAAUCAAGGAGCAACGGAAUAUGGCUAGUUUGAAAUAUUAAUUAAGCAAAGAAUAUAUGAAUUAUAUGUAAAAAAAAAAGAAUAAAUAACAAAUUUUAAGUUACUUAUUGAGGUAGGAAUAUAGAUUCUUCUGCUCUUCAUGAUAUUAUCUGUAUACAAAAUAAUUUCUUCAUCAGGGUAUUGAUACCUUCUCGCCUUGAAAAUUAAAUUGGGCAUAAAUGUAAAAAUUUAGAAAAUUUUAUUUCGUGGGAGAGUAACAUUGACCUUCUCUGAGGUUUUAAUUUGUAGAAAAUUUUAAUAUUAACUAACCAACGAACUGUAUAUUGUGUCCGACUGUUUGGUACAUGCAAUGUGCUAUUGAAAACAGUAAUUAUGUAAUAUGUUGGUUCUAAAUGUACUCAGAUGGACACGCCUUAGUGAUAAAAUUAUGAAAAUAUCCUCAAUGUCACCCCGGCUCACCCAGGAAUUUUUUUUGUCAUUACAUCAGCUAUGGAUUGAAAUGUCAAAAGUGUCCUUUUAUUAUUGAGUAGUACAUUUUCAAAGAAAAAUAAAAAUUAACCUACCGUUAAUAAGUUGCAUGACACAUCAGUUUAUAAACAAAUAUUUUAUAUCUUGACAUUAUUUAUAAGACAAAAUUAGUAGUCUCCCUAUGUGGAAAUACCAAAAUUAAGAAUAUUUUUAUUUUUUUCCUUUAAAAGAAAAAGUAAAGCAUAAUUAAUAAAUAGUGCUCAUUUCAAGUGGUGAAUAUAUAUUGAUGUUAAUUCAGUUGAUGUAUGAAUUAUGCAUAUCAACUUUACAAGUGUAUGUAUGAGUACUCAUUCACUAAUUUUUUGUUAUUAUUUUAUUUUUAGAAUUAAUUUGGUAAGUUAAUAUUUUUUUUCUUUUUCAUUACUAUCCCUAAAAAUGUUGCAAGGACAAUAAAGUAAAAGCAAAAAAAAGUUUGGAUUGGAGUAUACAUAAUUAAACCAAAGAUGUUUUAAAGUAUUCUUCAAAAUAUAAAAACUAAAGGGACAUUUUAAAAUAUAAGAAUUAAACAAAAAUUUACUUCUAUUAAAAUUUUUAUAUUACUGUAUUAACUGUGUGAUGUGGUUGCUAUUUCAUCGCCAACAUCGUUCAAGGUUGGAGAAUAAUACAGAUCAUCAGUGUUGUGAUCAUCAACAAAGUUGAAGAUCUACAUCAAGUAGAGGAUCUAUUCAAAAAACUUCAAAAGAACUGAAACGACCCGCUCCGCACCCCCAGGGCGAGUCUAUCUAAACUCGUAAAAUCGAAUCGAUAAUAUUUAUGAUAUCUAAGAAUUCUAUUAACAUUUCGGCAGAAUCUCCCUUAUAAAUAAAACAUUCCCAAACCUACAAUUUACAAAGCAAUACUCCCAAAAAUAAUUCAAUAUCCAUCCAUCCUUCAUAACCAACUUCUUAAGUCAACAUAUCAAACAUCACCCAAAUCAAUGGUUAUCCUUAAUUACAAAAUAUAACAAAUAAAUACAAUUCGCAAUAACCCAAAAAUCAAAAUUAUUAAAUCUAUGACUCCUAGCACCAUCACGUGGCCACAAUUUCAAAACUAACAUUCGUUGCUGGGUCGACUGAUGUACCUACAAAUCUCCUAGGGGGGAAAAUAUAAUAAAAACGGGAUGAGUAUAAAACUCAAUGAGUUCAGUGAGUGGAUAGUAGUUUUUUAAAAAAAUAACUUUAUUUAAAAUGAUUUAAUCUUUCUCAAAUCAAUUUCUCAAAUCAAUUUCAUCAAAAUCUCACAAGAACUUAUAUCAACUUAUUUAAUUCAAAUCAGUCACUGAAAUACUAUAUUACAUAAAUCUGCAUAAAAUCGAUGGAAACAUAAUACUUAUCAUAUCAAAUACUGAAUACCAAAAACUAUCAUCAAACAAGUACCCAAGGGAAUAAUCUCAUCAUAUCCGGACCUCGACGGACGGGCAAUCAGGGAACCAUCAUGCCCUGGAGCUACAACGGAUAGAUGGGAAAAAUCUCAUCUCAUAUCUCAUGUAUCUCAACAUAUGUAUCUCUGUAAUCAUCAUACUGCAUGCAUAAGCCCCCAAAAGGCAAAAGCGCCCAAACACACGGCCCAAAGCCUUUAUGUGUGUUCAGACGGGCCCCAAAGGCCUCUAUCUCAUCUCAUAUGUAUCUCUGUAUUCAUCUCAUAUUAUAUGUAUCUCUAUAUCUGGAGGGAAGGGUACUGUCCAAUGAUUUUCCAAACAACAUUUAUACUCAUAUACAUAAACAUAUAAUCACAUCUGAAAUCUCAUUUUCUUUCUAUGCAACAUAUCUCAAAUAUGCUCAAUUCUAAUAUCAUGCAUAAAAUCAUUAAUCAAACUCAUUUUUAAUAACAAUAAAUAUCGACACGUAGAUAAAAAUCAAUUUCUAGAAAAUCAUUAAAUCGAAGCAUUAAACACUUAUUUAUCAAAACAUACUGCACUGUAUCAUAAAAUCAACAUAUACUAUGAAAAUAGAUUUUGUAUAUUCCACUCACAGUGUCGAUGUUCAGACUCGGUAUCAACAACGUCCGCGGGUUGAUUCUCGCUCGCGGAUCCUCCUAAUCAAGGAAACGACAUAAUCAUUCUCCGUAAAUUUGAAGCGCAACUAAUCUUAUAUAAUAAUUCUCGAAACGAAUAUCUAUCAACAAUAACUAUUCCCGCAUGCACAAAAUUACCAAAAUACCCCUAGAUGCCAAAAUUACCAAAAUGCCCCCAACAUCAUUAUUUUACCAAAUUAUCCUCAGAAUCUUCAAUUACCAAAUUGUCCUCAAUUCAGAUCACAUAAAUAACCACAAUGUCAGAAAUUACGAAAUUAACCUCGGAACGUAAAUUUACCAAAAUGUCCUUAAUGACUUAAAUUACCGAAUUACCCUCGAAAUCUCAAAUUACCUCACUGCCUUAACUUAAAAUUACCAAAUUAUCCACUGAUUAUUACAAAUUCACCCUAAAGUUUUAUGAAUUUACCGAAUUGCCCCAGCCGGUCAACGGUGACCGGACUUCAGUCAACGACGACGGGAAGCUUAGGUCUGAUAGUUCAGACCUCGGUGAGUCCAAUGGUGCCGGCGGUGACCUCCCACGCGCGGCAACGGCGGCAAAUCAGCUUCCAAAUCCGCAAGCUUUCCAAGUGGCUGAUCGUCAACAAUCCGACUGUUUCAGGUGACGAGGUUGGUCGGAAAAUAAUGUUGGUGACGUGAGGAGUAGAACCCAACUGGAAGUGUGCCUAAACUCCGGCGAAAUUGACGGUGGCGAAAACGGGUCUUGGCCGCGAGUUUCUGAACUCAAUCGCCGGCGUUCUGGUCGGUUUCCGGUGACGAGGACUGUUGGGUUAUGACGGUCGGCUUCCAAGCUUCAGAUCGAUACCAAGCUCGGCCGGUGAGGUGGCCGGAAUCGCGAGAUAUGGCCGGGUCAAGGUCGCGGGUUCCGGGUCGGAUCCGGGUCAAACUCGGGUCAUCUCUCUCUCUCUCGUGUCCCUCUCUCUCCUUCCUUUUAAAAAACAAUUCCCCCCCCCCCUUUCUAUAUACAGAACCCGAAUUCUUCUUCCUUUUUUUUUAAAACUUAAGCUUAAUACAAAUUAAGCUUAUACCGGUGCCGAGACGAAAAUAAAAUCCGACUACUUGAGCUUUUAAUCGCGCUAAAUUUAUCUCGAUUUAAUGUCGUGACAAAUAAAAUUAAUAUCGAAGAGGAAAAAUUAAAUCACACACUAAAAUCAAAGUGCAUAUGUUACAAUCCUCCCUCCUUAUAAAAAUUUCGUCCUCAAAAUUUACACAUUUGAUGAGAACAGGUGAGGGUAUUGGGCUCGUAUUAAGUCUUCGCGUUCCCAAGUAGCUUUUUCCCUUGUGUGAUUCCUCCACAACACUUUUACUAAUGGAAUGGUUUUUGAACGCAAAACUUAGUGCUUCUGUUCUAGUAUUUCCACGGGCUCUUCUUCAUAAGUCAAGUCUUCUUUCAGCUCAAUUGGUUGUCUCGAUAACACAUGACUAGGAUCAUACACGUACUUCCGGAGCAUCGAGACAUGAAAUAUAUCAUGGAUUCUGGAUAACUCAGGUGGUAGAGCUAAUCGGUAUGCCAACGGACCAAUACGCUCCACGAUCUCAUAUGGUCCAAUGUAACGUAGACUUAGCUUCCCGCGCUUCCCAAAUCGAAGUACCCCUUUCCAAGGAGAUAUCCGUAUGAAAACCUUAUCACCCACUUUAAAUUCAAGUUCCCGCCUACGCUUAUCUGUAUAGCUCUUUUGUCAGUUUUGGGCUGCUUUUAAUCUUUCCCGAAUAAGUUGUAUCUUCUCAUUAGUAUUCUGAACCAAUUCGGGACCAAGAAGCUUCCGCUCUCCAACCUCGUCCCAACAUACGGGAGUUCUACAUUUCCUGCCAUACAAGGCCUCAUAAGGUGCCAUCUCGAUGCUAGCUUGAUAACUGUUAUUACAAGCAAAUUCCAUUAAGGGUAAAUAAAUGUCCCAACCACCCUUAAACUCCAAAAUACAAGCUCGUAACAUAUCCUCCAGGGUUUGAAUAGUAUGCUCUGACUGACCAUCAGUCUGUGGAUGAAAAGCUGUACUAAAAUUCAACUUGGUGCCUAAAGCCUUUUGCAAACUUAUCCAGAACUUAGAAGUAAAUCGGGAAUCUCUAUCUGAAACAAUAGACACAGGUGCUCUGUAAAGUCGAACUAUCUCGGCUACAAAAAUAUUCCCUAACUUGUCCAUCGAAUAAGUGGUCUUGAAUGGUAAAAAGUGAGCAGAUUUUGUAAGUCGAUCAACAACUACCCAAACACUAUCAUGACCACUCUGCGUACGUGAAAGUCCCGCUACAAAAUCCAUGGUGAUGUGCUCCCAUUUCCACUCAGGGAUAGGAAGCGGCUGAGAAAACCCUGCAGGUCUUUGAUGUUCAGCCUUAAUCUGCUGACAAACUAAACACCAAGAUACAAAUUCAGCCAUCUCACUCUUCAUACCUUGCCACCAGUAAUGAUCUCUCAAGGUACGAUACAUCUUCGUACUACCCGGAUGCAUAGCAUAAGUUGAACAAUGAGCUUCUUCCAUGAUCUCCUUUUUCAACUCUUUAAUAUCGGGUACGCAAAGUCGAUAUCCCAUAACUAAAACUCCAUCAUCUUUCACCGCAAAAUCAGUUCGUAAGCCUUUUUGCACAUCCUCUUUCAACUUCAGUAACUGCAAAUCCUGAUCUUGCAUUUGAUGAACUUUGUCAAUCAAAGUCGGCCUCACUUGAAAAUUAGCUAUCAAAGCCCUGCAAUUUUCAACUUCCAAUUCAACUCCCAAAGAUCUCAGCUCGAUCAAUAAAGGCAUAUAUGUCCCUCGCAAGUGAGCUAUAGAGCUGGAAGACUUCCUAUUUAGCGCAUCAGCUACCACAUUUGCUUUGCCCGGAUGAAAAUCAAUAGUGCAAUCGUAGUCUUUAAUCAGCUCAAUCCAUCUCCUCUGUCUCAAAUUUAACUCUUUUUGAGUAAACAAAUACUUCAAGCUCUUGUGAUCAGUGAAAAUCUAGCAUGUUGCUCCGUAUAAAUAAUGUCUCCAUAUCUUGAGUGCAAAUACCACUGCUGCUAAAUCUAAAUAAUAGGUUGGGUAGUUUUGUCAUGCUUUUUAAGUUGCCUAGAAACAUAAGCUACUACUUUCCCAUGUAGCACACAACCCAAUCCUUGACUGGAUGCAUCACUGUAUACUACAAACCCUUCAUUACCCGAUGGAAGUGUAAGAACUGGUGCUGAAGUAAGUCGUGCCUUGAGUUCUUGAAAGCUCUUUUCACAGUCAUCAUCCCACUGGAACUUAGCAUUUUUUUCUAGUUAACCGUGUCAGAGGAGUAGUAAUCUUGGAGAAUCCUUCCAUAAAUCUACGAUAAUAGCCAGCUAAUCCAAGGAAACUUCGAACCUCGGUCACAUUUGUAGGCCGUUCCUAAUUUACAACCGCUUCGAUCUUUUGAGGAUCAACAUAAAUUCCUUCAGCUGAUAUCACAUGGCCUAGAAAUACUACUUUAUCCAACCAGAACUCACACUUGCUGAACUUGGCGUACUCCGAGAAUACACUAAAAUGUCGUUAAUGAACACAAUCACAAAUCGAUCCAGAUAAGGGCGGAAUACCCUAUUCAUAAGAUUCAUAAAAGCUGCUGGGGCAUUAGUCAACCCAAAUGGCAUCACCAAAAAUUCAUAAUGUUCAUAACGAGUUCUGAAUGCUGUUUUAGGAAUAUGGGCCUCUUCAAUUUUAAGUUGAUGAUAUCCCGAGCGCAAAUCGAUCUUAGAAAACACAUUCGCUCCCUGAAGUUGAUCAAACAAGUCAUCAAUACGAGGAAGUGGAUAUUUAUUACGCGCUGUAACUUUAUUCAACUGCCUAUAGUCAAUGCAAAGUCUAAGAGUACCAUCAUUUUUCUUAACAAACAAAACCGGAGCUCCCCACGGAGACACACUAGGUCUAAUAAACUCUUUAUCCACUAAUUCUUGCAGUUGAAUCUUAAGUUCCUUUAGUUCAGCUGAAGCCAUCCUAUACGGUGCUAUAGAUAUAGGAGCCGUCUCAGGGACUAAAUCAAUAGAAAACUCAAUCUCUUUGUGAGGUGGCAUCCCUGGAAGUUUAUAUGAAAAUACAUUUGGAAACUCCUGGGCUACUGGAAUAUCCUCCAAUCUCAACUCCCGAACUUCAGUAUCUAUUACGUGUGCCAGAUAAGCAGAGCAACCUUUUCUCAGUAAACGUCUUGCAUCAAUGGCCGAUAUGACACAUGAGGGUAAAACUCUACGCUCACCGUAAAAUUUCACCUCAAUUUCUCCUGGCUUAUUGAACACAACUUCUUUUUUGAAACAAUCCACAGUAGCAUGGUGAGAUGCAAGCCAAUCCAUGCCCAAAAUGGCAUCGAAAUCUCGAAUGUCUAGAAUAAUUAAAUUCGCCCUAAAUUCAUGCUUACCCAAUUAAAUCAUGCAAUCUCGAUACACCCUCUCGGCAAGCAGUGACCCUCUGGUAGGUGUACUAACAACUAAACCAUAAUCCAACAAUUCAGGCUCUUUCUCUCUAUGCAUAACAAAUGUACGAGAAAUAAAAGAAUGUGUGGAUCCAGGAUCAAUAAGAAUAUGAGCAUCAUGGCCAAAGAUAGAUAAUGUACCCAUAAUAACUUCUAGUGUAGCAUGAGCCUCCUACUGUGUCAAGGCAAAAACUCGAGCCUGAGUACAAGGUCGACCAGGUUGACCUCUCUGACUUGGAAUAGUGGCCUGACUCUUAGAUAUAGAACCCCCUGUUUGCAUAUCCCUUUGACCCUGAACUGGUCCAGCAUGAGAUUGAUACUGCGGGGCUGUCCCUCGAGCAAAACUAUCACCCUGAGAUAAAGUAGGGCAGAAUCCCCUUAUGUGUCCAGGCUGACCAUACAAAUAACAAACUCUGUCUCCAACACGACAUUGGCCCUGAUGAUUGCUGCCACAUGAAGGGCAAGAAGUCUACUGGAAACUCCUAGAACGAUCAUCACGAUAUCCCCCACCACUGCGGUCAUACUAUCCCUGAUUCCUGGUAUUACUCCCCACUGAUGGUUGUGCCGAACUGUAACCGGCGGCCUGUCUCUGAUCUCCCCUGCUACUUAUACUCUGAUUCUUUUGCACACCAACAGAGUAAUUUGUAUGUGAGCCUCUCUUCGGCGGUCUGCUGCUCGAGCCACCCUCUGUCCAACUCUGGCUACGUUUUUUGUUUCAGAGCCUGAACUCUACGUCCCUCAGAGAUAUUGUGUUCUACUCUCUUAGCUGUCUCAACUACCUCAGCAAACUCAGUGUACCGUGAUGCUGUCACAGUUGUACGAAUUUCAAAUCGGAGACCCUCCUCAAAACGCUUGCAUCUCUCUCUCUCAUCACCAACUGCUGAAAUGGCAAAUCUAGAAAGAUCCAAAAAUUUCUUCUCAUACUCUUCUACUGACAUAGAUCCUUGAACCAACCGAAGGAAUUCACUCCGCUUAAUAUCCUGAUACACAGCUGGAAAAUAAUGAUCGUAGAAUUCCUUACGAAAAAUAGCCCAUGUAAGCGCAGCAUGCCCUUGGUAUCUACGCUCUACUGUUUGCCACCAAUGAUAAGCCCUAUCUUCGAGUAGAAAAGUGGCAAAUGAAAGUCUAUCCUCCUCUAAGCAUCUCAUCAUAUCAAAAAUACGUUCUAAUUUAAUAAGCCACGACUCUGCCUCAGGUGGAUCUUCAGAACCAUUAAAACUCUUGGCCCCUAAACUUCGUACACGCACGAUAGUAUUUGCAUGACCGACAUGCGGAUGAGUCUGAUUCUGUACCAUUGUAGUCACAAUCUGAGCUAAUCUAUCAAUUGACUGCUCAAUGUUCGGAGCAUUUCCUGGUGCUUGUUACACAACCUCGUGCGUAGAAGACUCAACUAUUCCCUCGUUUACGGGAUCAUUUUCCCCCGCAGGUACAUCUCCUGGAGUAAACCCAGCUACUAGCCUAGUACGGCCACUACCAUGGCCACGUCCGCGGCCACGUCUACUGCUACGACGAAUCAUGAUGGUGCCUACAAAAUAUUAAGUCUGACUUUAAUAACAAUAAAACUUAUUCUAUUUACGACAGUAAAGUCUACAGAAUCUAUAACAAUGCUCUGAUACCAACUGAAACGACCCGCCCCGCACCCCCAGGGCGAGUCUAUCUAAACUCGUAAAAUCGAAUCGAUAAUAUUUAUGAUAUCUAAGAAUUCUAUUAACAUUUCGGUAGAAUCUCCCUUAUAAAUAAAAUAUUCCUAAACCUGCAAUUUACAAAGCAAUACUCCCAAAAAUAAUUCAAUAUCCAUCCAUCCUUCAUAACCAACUUCUCAAGUCAACAUAUCAAACAUCAUCCAAAUCAAUGGUUAUCCUUAAUUACAAAAUAUAACAAAUAAAUACAAUUCGCAAUAACCCAAAAAUCAAAAUUAUUAAAUCUACGACUCCUAGCACCAUCACGUGGCCACAAUUUCAAAACUAACAUUCGUUGCUAGGUCGACUGAUAUACCUGCAAAUCUCCUGGGGGGAAAAUAUAAUAAAAACGGGAUGAGUAUAAAACUCAGUGAGCUCAGUGAGUGGAUAGUAGUUUUUUAAAAAAUAACUUUAUUUAAAAUGAUUUAAUCUUUCUCAAAUCAAUUUCUCAAAUCAAUUUCAUCAAAAUCUCACAAGAACUUAUAUCAACUUAUUUAAUUCAAAUCAGUCACUGAAAUACUAUAUUACAUAAAUCUGCAUAAAAUCGAUGGAAACAUAAUACUUAUCAUAUCAAAUACUGAAUACCAAAAACUAUCAUCAAACAAGUACCCAGGGGAAUAAUCUCAUCAUAUCCGGACCUCGACGGACGGGCAAUCACGGAACCACUGUAACAUAUGCACUCCGAUUUUUCUUAAUAAAGUGAGUGAUUUAAUUUUUCCUCUUCGCUUAUAAUUUUUAAAUUCGUCACGACAAUUUAUCGAGAUAAAUUGAGCCGACGAGUUCUCCCGUUUCUGACUACCUCACCGGCCGUGCUUGGUACCGAUCUGAAGUUUGGAAGCCGACCGUCGUAUCCCCGCUGUCCUCGUCGCCGGAAACCGACCAGAACGCCGGCGAUUGAGCUCGGAAACUCGUAGCUUAAACCCAUUUUCGCCGCCGUUGAUCCCGCCGGAUUUUUGACGCACCACCACUUGGAACUGGUUCCUCACGUCUCCAGCAUCAUUUCCCGACCAACCACGACCACCAAGGACGCCGGAAAAUCACCAAACGAUCACCGGAAAGUUUCAGAUUUUUGGAGCUUCGAUCCGCCGUCGUCGCCGCGCGUGGGAGGACACCGCCGGCACCACUAGACUCACCAAGGCCGGAACUAUCAGACCUAAGCUCCCCGUCGUCGUUGACUGAAGUCCGGUCACCGUUGACCGACAGGGGCAAUUCGGUAAAUUCAUAAAACUUUGGGGUGAAUUUGUAAUUUUAUGUAAUCAGUGGACAUUUUGGUAAUUUACGCUCCGGGGGUAAUUUCGUAAUUUUCUGACAUUGUGAUUAUUUAUGUGAUCUGAAUUGAGGACAAUAUGGUAAUUGAAGAUUCUAAGGACAAUUUGGUAGAAUAAUGAAGUUUGAGGAUAAGUUGGUAAAAUAUUGAUGUUGGGGGUAUUUUGGUAAUUUUGGCAUGUAGGGGCAUUUUGGUAAUUUUGUACAUGCGGGAAUAGUUCAUCGUUGAUAGAUAUUCGUUUCGAGAUUUAUUAUAUUAAAUUGGUUGUAUUUCAAAUUUACGGAGAAUGAUUAUGGCGUUUCCUUGUUUAGGAGGAUCCGCGAACGAGAAUCAACCCGCGGACGUUGUUGAUACCGAGUCUAGACAUCAUCACUGUGAGUGGAAUAUACGAAACCUAUGUUCAUAGUAUAUGCUGAUUUCAUGAUACAGUGCAGUAUGUUUUGAUAAAUAAGUAUUUGAUGCUCGAUUUAAUGAUUUUCUAGAAAAUUGAUUUUUAUCUAUGUGAUGGUAUUUAUUGUUAUUGAGCAUGAGUUUGAUUAAUGAUUUUACUAUCGUUUUUGAGUAAAGGCAUGAUGUUAGAAUAGAGCAGAUUCGAGAUAUGUUGAAUAGAAAGAAAAUGAGAUUUCAGAUGAGAUUAUGUAUAUGAGUAUGAAUGUUAUUUUUGAAAUCAUUAGACAGUACCCUUCCCUCCAGAUACAGAGAUACAGAGAAUAUGAGAUAAAUACAGAGAUACAGAUAAGAUGAAAUACAGGCUUUUGGGGCCCGUCUGAACACACAUAGAGGCUUUGGGCCGUGUGUUUGGGCGCUUUUGCCUUUUGGGGGCUUCUGCAUGCAGUACAGAGAUAUGAGAUAUGAGAUUGAGAUUUUCCCCAUCUAUCCGUUGUAGCUCCGGGGCAUGAUGGUUCCCUGAUUGCCCGUCCGUCGAGGUUCGGAUAUGAUCAGAGUAUUCCCCUGAGUACUUGUUUGAUGAUAGUUUUCAGUAUUCAGUAUUUUAUAUGAUAAGUAUUAUGAUUCCAUCGAUUUUAUGCAAAUUUUGAUGUGAUAUAGUAUUUCAAUUUAAAUAAGUUUGUUUAAGUUCUUAUGAUACUUUGAGAAAUUGAUUUGAGAAAGAUUAAAUCAUUUUAAAUAAAUGUAUGUAUUUUUCAAAAUUACUAUCCACUCACUGAGUUCACUGAGUGUUAUACUCAUCCAUCUUUUAUUAUAUUUUUCCCCCCCACAGGAGAUUUACAGGUACAUCAGUCAACCCAGUAACAAACGUUAGUUUGAUAUUGUGGCCACGUGAUGGUGCUAGGAGUCGUGGAUUUAAUUAUUAUAAUAUUUGGGAUUUUUGCGAGUUGUGUUUAUUUAUUAUUUUAUGUAAUUAAGAUGUAUUCUAAUAUUAGGAUGAUUUGGAUGAUAUUUGAUACGUUGAUUUGAGAAGUUGGUUAUGGAGGAUGGUUGGAUAUUAAAUUAUUUUGGGAGUGUUGUUUUGUAAUUUGCAGGAUUUGGGUAUGUUUUAUUUUUAAGGGAGAUGCUGCCGAAAUUUUUAUAGAAUUCUCAGAUUUUAUAAAUAGUAUCGCUUCGAUUUUACGAGUUUAGAUAGACUCACCCUGGGGAGUGCGGGGCCGGUCGUUUCAACCAUCAUGCCCCGGAGCUACAACGGAUAGAUGGGAAAAAUCUCAUCUCAUAUCUCAUGUAUCUCAACAUCUGUAUCUCUGUAAUCAUCAUACUGCAUGCAUAAGCCCCCAAAAAGGCAAAAGCGCCCAAACACACGGCCCAAAGCCUCUAUGUGUGUUCAGACGAGCCCCAAAGGCCUCUAUCUCAUCUCAUCUGUAUCUCUAUAUUCAUCUCAUAUUAUCUGUAUCUCUGUAUCUGGAGGGAAGGGUACUGUCCAAUGAUUUUCCAAACAACAUUUAUACUCAUAUACAUAAACAUAUAAUCACAUCUGAAAUCUCAUUUUCUUUCUAUGCAACAUAUCUCAAAUCUGCUCAAUUCUAAUAUCAUGCAUAAAAUCAUUAAUCAAACUCAUUUUUAAUAACAAUAAAUAUCAACACGUAGAUAAAAAUCAAUUUCUAGAAAAUCAUUAAAUCAAAGCAUUAAACACUUAUUUAUCAAAAAAUAUUGCAUUGUAUCAUAAAAUCAACAUAUACUAUGAAAAUAGAUUUUGUAUAUUCCACGCACAGUGUCGAUGUCCAGACUCGGUAUCAACAACGUCCGCGGGUUGAUUCUCGCUCGCGGAUCCUCCUAAUCAAGGAAACGACAUAAUCAUUCUCCGUAAAUUUGAAGCGCAACUAAUCUUACAUAAUAAUUCUCGAAACAAAUAUCUCUCAACAAUAACUAUUCCCGCAUGUAAAAAAUUACCAAAAUACCCCUAGAUGCCAAAAUUACCAAAAUGCCCCCAACAUCAUUAUUUUACCAAAUUAAUUGUCCUCAAUUCAGAUCACAUAAAUAACCACAAUUUCAGAAAUUACGAAAUUACCCUCGGAACGUAAAUUUACCAAAAUGUCCUUAACGACUUAAAUUACCGAAUUACCCUCGAAAUCUCAAAUUACCUCACUGCCCUAACUUAAAAUUACCAAAUUAUCCACUGAUUCCAUAAAUUACAAAUUCACCCUAAAGUUUUAUGAAUUUACCGAAUUGCCCCUGCCGGUCAACGGUGACCGGACUUCAGUCAACGACGACGGGAAGCUUAGGUCUGAUAUUUCAGACCUCGGUGAGUCCAAUGGUGCCGGCGGUGACCUCCCACGCGCGGCAACGGCGGCAAAUCAAGCUUCCAAAUCCGCGAGCUUUCUAAGUGGCUGAUCGUCAACAAUCCGACCAUUUCAGGUGACGAGGUUGGUCGGAAAAUAAUGCUGGUGACGUGAGGAGUAGAACCCAACUGGACGUGUGCCCAAGCUCCGGCGAAAUCGACGGCGGCGAAAACGGGUCUUGGCCGCGAGUUUCUGAACUCAAUCGCCGGCGUUCUGGUCGGUUUCCAGUGAUGAGGACGGCUGGGUUAUGACGGUCGGCUUCCAAGCUUCAGAUCGAUACCAAGCUCGGCCGGUGAGGUGGCCGGAAUCGCGAGUUAUGGCCGGGUCAAGGUCGCGGGUUCCGGGUCGGAUCCGGGUCAAACUCAGGUCAACUCUCUCUCUCUCUCUCUCUCUCUCUCUCUUGUCCUUCUCUCUCCUUCCUUUUAAAAAAACAGUUUCCCCCCCCCUCCCUUUCUAUAUACAAAACCCAAAUUCUUCUUCCUUUUUUUUUUUAACUUAAGCUUAAUACAAAUUAAGCUUAUACCGGUCCCGAGACGAAAAUAAAAUCCGACUACUCGAACUUUUAAUCACGAUAAAUUUAUCUCGAUUUAAUGUCGUGACAAAUAAAAUUAAUAUCGAAGAGGAUAAAUUAAAUCACACACUAAAAUCAAAGUGCAUAUGUUACAAGAACUAAAUUACACAUGAAUUGAAUAAUUUAAUGUUUUAUUUUCUUUAAUCGCAUGCACUGCCGAAAAAAAUUCCAAUAUGUGCCAUUACACAGUUGGAGGUAGAAAUAGGUAGGGUAAAUGGUUUUAGUAAUUAAGUGUCCUUUAAUAAAUUAUUCUCAUUUUUUGCGGUGAGAUCUUUUGAUUUCCUAUUUGUUGCGACUUCUCCUCUAGUUGCCAUCGCAUUUUUGAGAAAUUUUAGAGAAUAUUACAGGUAUUAUAUCUAUUUAAUACAUGUAUGGUCUGUGUGCACUAAUUAAAUAUAACUACAAAUUGCAUGAUAAUUUUUAAGGUGCACAAAUAUCAUAAAAUAAUUAAUUAGGUGUAAUAUUUUUAAUGUAUUCUAAAAAGUAGAACCUUUCUCUUUGUCUUAAUUUGCUACUUCAGUUGCAAUCUAUUAUCUUUCUUCUUUAUUGUUAUUAUAACUCACGAACUUUAAAGUUUGAACUCAAAACCUUAGCUUUAAAAUUUGUCCAAUAUACAAAUGUGCGGAUGUCUUUAUUCUUUUUCUUUUAUUUUACAAUUUGCUUGCUGGACUUAGUAAAUGUAAUUACUUAGUAAAUUUAAUUUUAUCAUUUUAAAUGACCAUUUAUUUUAAAUAUAGUAUGUAUUCGAAAAUAUAUUAUAUGAUAUAUUAGUAAAUUUAUAUUACUUGUAUUACAUCUGCCUAAAUACUCGCAAAAACCCACAGAUAAUUAUGCUUGUGUCAUUACCUUUCCAGAUGGGUACAUGGACGGAAAUAUUUAUGUACUUUGUGUUUACAUAUUGAAUACAAGUAAAUAGAUGUUUUCAGUCAAUUUCAAUUAUUACUUUAUCUCUUUUUGCCAGCAACGCUUGCUGACAUAAUUGCCCUUUGCUGUGCUUCUAAAGUUGAUAUUCUGUCAAUUUUUUUUGUAAUCAUUUUUCUCAGACCAUGUUUUAAAUAUAUGUGACAGGUCCAUGUUGAACUGAGGAAAUGGCUUAAAGACAAUGUCAACGCUGAAGUUGCAGCAUCAACUAGAAUCAUCUAUAGGGGUAUCAUUUCACUACUUUAUUAGCUAUUAAUUGUGACCACUAUUUAAAAUUAAUUUUGUGCAUGUUGUAAUCGUUAUUAAUAUAUAUGGAGCCGGGCAUGGGCUUAUUGAAGCUAAUGGCUGGUCUUUUUAGAACAUUUUCUUGUACAGGCAAAGUAAUAAAUAGCACCUUACAACUAAACAUACAAUAUUAUUACUCCAACCUGUUUAUUGAACUUACUUUGGCCUUUUCUGUUUGAUAUCAAGGAGAUAUAUUCUCAUGUAUAUGCUUCUGAGAUAAGCAUUCUUUUGCUCUGUUAGGUGCUUAAUAUUUUUUCUUUUGCAAUAAUAAUUUUAGUUCGAUUGGUUCUUAAACAGUUCCAAAUAUUUAGAAAAAUGAAAGUUGCGUAAGGAUAUAAUAUACAAUGCAAACUAUUGAAAAUGGAUCCAAGAACAGAAUUCUCUGCCACUGAUAUUUUAUUCAGCUUAAUUAAUUAGAGGAGUAAUGAUAAUGUUGUGAACCAGGCCUGCUUUUGUAUUCCUCGUUUAUAGGUACUAACAGACUCAUCGAUAUUAUCAAGUUUCCACUCAUCAACAUUUUAUAAUUAGAUGUCGUUCAUGAUUUAUCCUAUAGGUUCAUUUUGUAGUAUACCACUCGGUUUAAUGCUGAAGCUGUGAAAAACUUUUUGUACACUCUCAAAAAUGGCAAGAUACCGAAAAAGAAAUUUAAUUGUAGGUUGUCCACUGAACGACUGACAAGUGUUUGUUAUUAUUUAGGCAUUUCUUCCACUUUUAUUUUUGGGGUUGGAACAACAGAAUGAGAUAUAUUUUCACAGCUACUUUCAAAAUAUUUAAUGACAAAUGCAUCAUCCAAAAAGAACCAGCGAUUUUGAAUUAAAUUUUUAUGGAGCUCUGUUGUUUGGCUGUAUUAAAGCUUGAUGACCUUCGGAGAUAUCUAAUAUAUAUCUCCAGAAUAGGAAACAUAUUUAUCUGUUGUGCUUCUCUAUAUGUGGUUUGGGGUGGCAGUGGAAAUGGGGAGAAUAUGGUACUGCAUUCUAUUGUCUCUUUGAUAUACUUUUUUUUUAAAUAAUUAAUUCAUAUUAAUGCUUGGUGUACUUAUUUGUGCUAUUUUCUUGUCGGUUCUUGCUUUUGGAAUUUCCUUUUGCAUUAGAAGGAAGGAGGAAGUUCGUUUUAUUAUGGGCGAGUUUGGUUAUGGCUACUUUUUAGGAUGUGUAGGAGAGAAACAAAAGAAUAUUUGAGGAAAACACGUGAGGAUAUUUUUGUAUAUUUAGGAGAAAGUGAGGAUCUGGGCUUCUCAUUGGGCUUCCAUUCCAUUUUUUCAAAGUUUAAUGAGUCUCCUUUUAAUUCUUAGCAACUGGCAAGAAAUGGCAGCAGCCUGAGAAGGAGAGUUUUAGCCUUUUCAUAGAUUUUGUGGAGACUUUCAUGUUUAUACUCUUGGCUAUAGUUUGUGCGCUGUCAUAUUAGUAAUAGAGUUUCAAAUCAUUUGUCCAUGAUUUUCACAGGAUAUGUGCUAGAUAGAAAUAACCAUAAUGUUUUGCAUGCCUAAUUUAAGUUGCAUAAAAAACAUGGAGUUUUACUUUAAUAGAUAACUCUUUAUAUUAUAGGGUUGGCUAUAUUCAUUAAUGUUGCACAUGCAGAUUGAGUUUGAAUUUGUAAUGAUUUUGUUGCAUCUAAAACUUACGAGUUUUACUGUAGUAGUUAAUUCUUUUUAACAUUAGUGCUGGGUAUAUUCAAUUGGUGUUGCAUAUGCAUGUUGAGAGAAACUGCUCGUCUUGGGAGUUUUGCUGGGUAUUUGUUGAGAAUGGGAGUUUAUCUACUGGAAUUUUACUGAGAAUAUGGGAGGAGUUCUACAUUACAACGUUUGCUAGAAUUAGCUUCUUAAUUACUUUGGAUGUGUUAACUAUUGCAUACAAGUGUUUUCGGAUGAUGUUAUUAAUACAAAGUGUUUUUGGACUUGAUAAAAUGUAUAAUUUAAUUUUUGGUUCAUAUUGCAUUUAUGAUUGAAUUUCAUAUACAAGAACGCAUAAAUUUAAAUGAAAUAUUUCAUAAUUGCUUUCAAUAUAAAUUUAGAUCCUAUGACAGAAAAUAUUAAUUAUAAAUUAAGUCACAAAAAAAAUAAUUUAUGACAGAAAACAUCAAUCAUAAAUUCCGUCAUAAACUAAGUACUCUACCCACUAAAAUUAUCCAUAUGAUAAUUUACACGUGAAAAUCAAUUUUCAUGUCAAAUUUCAAAAUUGAAAAAAAAAAUUCCUGCCAAAAAUUAAUUAAUAUAUUCAUUUUUUUAUGACAGACAUAUGACAUCUAAACAUUAUCAUAAGUUAAUGACAUUUUUUUUCUAUCAUAAAAGAGUGACAGGUACAUAAAUGAUGGAUAAUUUCAUUGUCAUCCACCCUGCUUUGUGAUAGUUUUUUUCCGUCAUCUGUUGCCAGUUUUCUUGUAGUGUAUUACCCUUCUUAAUAACCUCAGAUCCCUUGACAAUUUUCAUCUAACUAGAUUCCAUCUUAACACUACAUCCUAUUUGAUUAAGCAUUUCCAGCGAAAUUAAAUUCCUUUUCCGAUCAGGCACAUACCUAACCUGUCUAAGUUCCCUAAUGAUACCAUCAUGUAGUUUGAGAUUAACAUUGCCAAUUCCGAAGAUCUGACACACAGUACAACCUAAGUCUAGAACUCAUUUACCAUUUUCUUUGUUGUAUGUGGCAAUACAUUUUCUAGCAUGUUUAUAUCCUCCAUCUUCUGCAACAACUGCAUCUCCAUUUUUAUCCUUUUUCUUAAGCUUCCUUUCUGGGUAAUCCUUCUUAAAAUGCCCCUCUUUAUGCAUAAGAAACACUUCAAGUUCUUAGGCUUUUCCUUGCUUCUUUUUCUUCCUUCUGGCUUUGCUUUUGCUAUUAAACCUUCACUAGAGCCAUUUCCAAGGCUUUCUUGCUUCCCUUAAAACUCCUUAGUGCUAAAAGUUGACUUUACCUCAUCCAGAGACAAUGCAUGCCUGCCAUACACUAAAGCAUCAACAAAAUGUUCAUAAAACUUGGGCAGAGAGCUUAUUGAAAACAAUGUUGUAUCCUCAUCGUUCAAUGUUGCACCUAUAGUUUCUAGAGUGCCGCACACUUUGUUAAACUCAUCAAGAUGAUCAUCAACGGAUAAGCCUUCAAUUAUUUUCAAUAUGAACAUUCUCUUUUUGAUGUAUAAUCGGUUAGCAAGAGAUUUUUUCAUGUAUAUGCUCUCUAAUUUGGCCCAUAGGUCAACAACUUAUCGAUUCUUUGGCCACUUUCCUUAUCACUGAGUCUGCAAAGCUCAAGAUUAUUGUUUCCCUUGCCUUCCUAUCAAAUUCAGCAGCCUGUUCAGGGGUCUUUGAAAAGGGAACUUCCUUCUCUUCCUUCUUGGUGACUGGUUUAAUAACAUCUCCAAGGCCUUGUGUAAGUAAUGCCUCCAUUUUUACUUUCCACAUAUUAAAGUCAUUUUUACCAUUAAGCUUCUCAAGAUUGAUCUUUGGAUUAGCCAUAUUUGGAUCUUGACUCUAUAAUCCUAGCUCUGAUACCACUUAUAGUGCUCCGAUAACCCAAAAUACAGAGCUAUCAAAGCACUGCCCAAGAUUGAGGUCAAGAACAACCAAAUUGCAUAUGAUGAUCAGAUCAGUCUUUGAUACCUUUAAUUUUAAACCAGAAACUUCAAUCAAGGUUUCUAGGAAUCAAAGAAGUAAGAAACUCAACAAACACAGCAAACAACACACAGAAGAAAAAAAUUCAAUUACGUGGUUCAGUUGUGCUGUAAACACAACCUACUUCCACGGGAGAAGCCACCAUAAUGAGUAUUAUUAUUGAUUCAAGUCAAAAUUAUAGAGCUUUUACAGAGAUGAAUACAAGAACAAAGUAUCACACUCCACUCUCACUAAGAUCUCUCUAGAAAGUUCUCGAUUUCAUGCAUUGAAACCUACUCAACAAUCAGCUCAGAUAUUAGCCGAUACGCAACCCAGUUUUCACAGAUUACAGCCACGUGUAUAAUGGCUUUGUAACUGAUUUGAUUCCCUUCGCACAUGCAUCCCCACACGCCUCACUAAAGCAUGCUUAAAACGAUGUUGAAUGAUGUCGUUCAAAGAUAUAAGUUGAGCACAUGACUCGCUCGUGACUGGUUAAAGCAUUAUAACCAUUUGAAACGCUGUCGUUUAAUGACCCCAAGUUUUGAAUUCAUCAAUUAGAUCCACACUUCUAAUGUUUGUCAAGGGGAAGAAAGCAACAAGGUUGAAGCCAAAACAAUAUAACCUUUUGCUGAAUGACACUACUCUUCGUGAUUUGUCGGGAAAAAAAAGAAAAGAGGAAAAAAGAAUCAUAAUGAAUGCUAGCUAGUAGCUAUUUAUGCAACAACGGAAGCAAAGAAGGUAAUCAAUAAUAGAUGCAUUUUAUCACAGUACUAUCAUAUGUACAAAUAAUAAAGGACAAAGUUCCGACCAAAAUUUUAUACUCAAAAGCAACCAAAAAAAAAUAAUACAUAUAUAAUAAUGAAGAAUCCAAGAGAAACAAUCGCAAUAAAAUAUUGCAAAAGUCACUGGUGAAUUUUUUUUUUAAAAAAAGAGAGGUUUGGAAGAAAAUAGCUAAAGUUGAGUUGCGAGGAUAAAGAAUAAAACGAGUAUAGUGGCAAAAUGGUUGAAUAAAAUAAAUUAAAAAAAAUUUGAGAAAACGACCUUGCCCACGCCUUCAGCUUAUGUGCCCACGUUUUUUGUAAUUAUUUUGUACACAGAAAUGGUUUUCUUUUUUGAAACAUAGUGCAUCCUGCACAAUAAUGUUAGAGCUAACCAUAUGUUGGAAUUUGGAUGAAAAUCAAUAAUAAUACUCAUUAUGGUGGCUUCUCCCGUGGAAGUAGGUUGUGUUUACAGCACAACUGAACCACGUAAUUGAGUUUUUUUCUUCUGUGUGUUGUUUUCUGUGUUUGUUGAGUUUCUUACUUCUUUGAUUCCUAGAAACCUUAAUUGAAGUUUCUUGUUUAAAAUUAAAGGUAUCAAAGAUUGAUCUGAUCAUCAUAUGUAAUGGCUCAGUCAGUCUUGAGUCAUUUUAUUGUAGGUGUCUUAUAGUGCUAUAUUAAAGAACAAAGCACUUGUAAGAGAAAAUGCAUCCCUCGCACAACAAACUCUAUUUUUCAUGUUCUACAGUUCCUUACCCAUUUAAAGAACGCAUAAAUUGAUAUAAUAAACUUAAAACGUACCUGAAAGAGUAAAAUCUGCACUUAAACUCCACAUACCUGAAGUCCCUAAUAGAGAGAUUUAACUUAUAUUAGUUCCAUUGUGUUCGCACAAAGAAUUGCUUUUGUACAUUUAACUUGCUUCCUCACUUCAGCUAUAGCCUUGGCAGACUUCCUCACUUCAGAUUUAAUUUGUUUAUUGAACUCAUCUGCAAAGUAUUCAACCAACAAUAAUUCCAUAUUCUGACUGCCAAGUUCUGCAUCUCAUCUAAUAUCCUUAACCUGCAAAAUUGUCAAAUAUCAACUAGCAUCAAAAAGUAAUUAGAUAUGCAGAACAUAACAAGUGGCACAUAAAGAUUGUAUGGAGCACCGAUGAAGUGAAGAAAAAUAAUGCUACGGGAAUAAUAACCACUCAACUCAUAUUGCAUGCUUAUAUCCCAAGAUUAUUUAGUCAAAGGGUACAAAUACUUACAAAUAGCUUAUGAAUCCAUCAUAAUGGCUAUCAAAUACUAUUGUUCUAACUAUGGUAUCAGAGGCUUCCAAUUCAUAUGAUUGCAGCUCUCUAAAUCGCUAGAUUUCCGCUUACGAGCCCCCGCUAGCCUCAUUCCUGUAAUGAAAUUACAAAAUCAUUUAUCGUUUCCAAUUCACCUUCUCUUAAUCUAAUAAAUAAACAUAUAGGUUCUUGCAAGCUAAUUACAAGUUUUAAAUCUUUUCAAAAAAAAAAACUACGAGUUUUAAGAAAGAAUUACCUACUGUGUCGGUUGAUUCGAUCCGCACAAGAACAAAUCAAAGUGUCGCGAGAUUUGUUCUGAUUUGAUAUAUACCUUAACUUUCAGCACCGUUAACUUUCGAUUGCACUUUGCCGCGAUGAUUAUAAUUUCGCCGUCGAUUGCCCGAAAGUGAAAGGCCAUAUUCAUGUUCUAAUCACUAGAGGUUUUUAAUUCCCACAAAAAUUGCAAUCCUCUAAUUCUAAUUUUACGUCUUCAUUGCUGUCUCGAGAUCAAUUUUCUGCAGAAAUCAGUGAAACUCUAAUCAAUUCUAAGAAAUUUCUGGAAUCUACGCUCACUGAAAUGCUAUAAGAUUAGUACUCAACCAGCUGCAACGGUUGCUAGUCACCGCAUCAAUUAUCCAAUAAUUAAUUUCAGCCGUUAGAUUGAAUAAGCAAGCAUCCAACGACUUUGUUAAAUAAGGAUAAAAACUAUGGUACGAUACUGCAGUUGCAACAUAGAUGGAUCCCACAAACAAAUAAAUAUCAAUUUUCUUGAGAUUUCUUUUAAUAAAAGAAGGAGGCAGAGGAGAAAAUCAUAAAAGCAUCUGGCGCGAAUUGUUGAUGAAGAAGAUGACGAAAGAUUUAUGAUUUGGGUAUUAACUAACUUCCUUAUAUAUAUGUAUGUCUAAUUUUUUAGUCCUAAUAUUGAUUGGCUAGUUGUUUCUGACAUUUUUUCCCACAUAACUAAUUCUUCUUGUAAGGAAAGAAAUCUAAUAAUAUUGUCAUCUUUAUCCUUAUUUAGUUAUGGAAUAAAAGAGUUCAAUUUUUCUCUAUAAUUUAUAAUUUAUUAUUAAAUUAAUUUAAUCACUAAGGGUAUAUAAAUUAUUUAACUUCAUUCAUAUUUUCAAAAUAUUUAAAUUUUAUAACUAACAUCAAAAUUAUAAGUAAAAUGAUCAAAUGACAUAUAAAGUUAAUAUCAUUAUAACUGUAGAAGCAUUUGAACCUAUUUUUAAAACAUGAGAGACAAUUUCGUUUAAUUUUUUCUAAAUAAUAAGAACAGUCCUCAUUUUUCUGUUUUAAAGAAUGUCUUUUGUGAAUGUGUGGUCUUCUGUAAAAUUGAAAUUGUAAUCCGUUAUCUAAAAAACGCAAUGAAUAUUUUAAAUAAGCUACUUGAAAAUUUUAAAACGCAAUGAAAAUUUUUCAGAUUCUGGCGAAAUAGAAACUUUGUCCAAUUGCUUCUCAGAUUUGAAAAGUGCAGGCAACGGACAGCUACUUGUCCUCAAUAAUUCAUAGGAGCGACGUCGGUUUGAUACCUCCUAAAAUUAUUUCGAUUAUAAGGGGAAAAAAUACGGAAUUGAAAGUAUAUUAUAUUUGAGCUGUUUUCGGAAUGAUUUGAGUGCUCUCUAGAAGGAACUAGAGUGCUCUAGCGAUUGCACAGCUUUAUUUAUUUUACUUUUUCUCUUUUCGCUUUUAAAUGUUAAAAAAUCUAUGCGGCGUGGGCCGUAUUUCCGCAAUUUAUUAUUUAAUCAAAUUGUAAAGUGAUCGUUAGAUCUAAUCCAAUGGCCAAAAAUACUCUCUUGUAUUAUAACUAUAAUUCAAGCUCAUAAUUUAAUAAUAAUAUUAAAUUAUCAACUCGUACAAAUUAAUAACUUUUGUAAAUUUCAACAAAUUUUAGAUUUUAGAUUAGAACACACAUAUAUGUACACACACAUAUAUAUUAAACAAUAAACACAGACAAAAAUUAAUGCUAUUUUAUACAACAUAAAUGGCCCCUGUUCCAAAUUAAAAUAUUGGCAUUAAUUGCAUUUGGCAAGGACAGACAAUGAAUAACUUGUUUUCAAUAAUUAACAAGAUGAAAGGGGAUCCAAACACAGGUUGAAUGACAUCUCUUACCUUUUUGUAAAUGACGACUUUUCUCUAAUUGGCACUUGCAGUAGUUAAAUUUUAAAGGGGCCGAUAGCUCUCUACUAAGUAUUAAUUUGUCAAAAUCUGAAGAAUCAUGACUUUUUUUUUUAAUGAGAUCUUCUUAUUUUUAAUUUUUACUUUCAAACUUCUAUAUAGGGCUAUCCAUGAUAUUAUAUUUUAAGCUGAAACUUUUUCGAAUGCUAAAUUACGGACAACACAACUGAAUAAAUAUGUCGAUAUCUAUUUAAACUUUAAAUUUUUCAAAUAGGGUGUCACUGAUGUUAUUUGAUGAAAAUACAGUCAGAUCACACUUAUAAUUAUACCAUUGAAAACCGAAAGCGAAGGGAAAAUUUUUUCAUGACUAAAUUAUAGAUCCUCAGUCUCAUUAGUUUUUCACUAUCGUCAAGCAAGCUCUUAUUAGCUUGCAAAGGGCAUUAAACCCUUCAUCAACACUUUUUCAAAGACCAAUUUUGUCAUAAAACAAGCAUAAAAAAAUAAAUCUAAUUGGUUAAAAUAAUUAUAAAUAAAUUAUUUAAAAAAUAAAAAGAAUUAAAUUUUAAAUGAAUUAUAAUUUUUUUUUAUUCUUUAUUUUGUAUUUAUUAAUUUAAUUAUAGAAUAAGUUCAUUUAAUGUUUAUAUUUUUAAAUUUUAAUUAUACUUUAUAAUAAAUAUUGAAAAUUUAACAUCAAUGGGAGAACUUGUCCUAAUAAAAAAUAAUUUCCUUUAUCUUUAGAAUUUUAUAUCAAACCUAGAAAUAGUAGGAAAGCCCAUAUGGGCAAUGCGAACCAAGCUUUGUCCUACUCGAGAGUGAGGCGAGCCAGAUCCAGGCUUCAGUAGUACAUUUGAUAAGCCUGGGCAUGGGAAGCCCUAAUUUUAUUGAAAAAGUUUUAAAAUAUUAAUUAUAUUGAAUAAUUAUAUUUACUUAUCCACCUCUUACAUAUGUUAGGAAUUUUAAACCUUUAGCUUCAACUUUUCAAGCCUAAUUUUAUUAUAAUAAAAUUUUAAAAAUUAUAAAUUUAUCAAAAAAAUUAAAAAAAAAUUAAAAAAAAUUAAAAAAUACAAACUCUUGGCUUUCUAUGCCCAGAUCAAAUAGUCCUUAGUCAUUACACUCCCCUCUCCCUCCAAUUCCUCUCCUUAAUUCUUCUUUCCUUUCCUUUUUAUUUUUCCUCUCAUUUAUUCAAACCAAGCACUACCAUAAAAUAUUAACCCAAAUUUUGUUAGAAUUUUAGUAUAUCACCCAACAACCAUCUAUAAUUUUAGUAUGUUAGAUAGUGUAGAGGAAAAGAAAUUCCAUAUUAGACAAAAUUGAAAAAUAAAAUAUUAGUUAAAAAAUAUUCUCAAAUUUGCAUCGAUUUGUGCAUAGUAGUGACCGCCUUCUCAAUUGCUUCCAACCAUUGAUUAGAGAGAUCCUUGAGUAGCAGCAAAGUGUUUACCCUUUUGGUGCAAUUUAUUAUUUAUACCCCAAAUUAAAAUCCUUGAUAUAAAAAGGAAAACUCUAAGUUACAUUUCAUGUAACUUACACUCACGAUAUAAAAAGAUAUUGUUCUUUCACAAAAGAAAAAAGGGUCAAAAUGUAGAAAGAAAUUUCUCUCUUUAAUUUUGAGAGAAAUUUUUUUCUAUUGUUAGUUGUUUAUAGUAGUAAUAAAGACACCCAUAUAUCAAGUGCAGAUUGAAUUUGAGUCAUAACUUGAAAAAUCGUUGGUGAUAGAUCAUGAUCUAAUAAGAUCAUCGAUGACAGAUCAUAAUCUAAUAAGAUUAGUGGUGAAGGAUUGUGACUUCAAAGGCUAAAUUACUUAGUUAAAUUACUUCUACGAGAAAGUAAAGGUAUGAUUUCUAGAUUAUGAUAAUUUCAUAUAAUGUAUGGGAACUUCAAUCUAAAUAUUUAUAAUAUAAAACUAUUUUUAACCAACAAUUCCUACAUAUAGUUUGAUGAAAUCAUAUAUAGAGAUGAUAUAAUUAUUUCAAAGUAAGUUUAUUUUCAAAAAACUAUUAUCCAUUUACUAAGUUCACAAAGUUUCAUACUCAUUCUAUUUUUCUAUAUUCUUCAUCCCCCCCAGCCCAAAACCUAAACAAGAGAUUCGCAGGCACACGAGAGACCUAGUGAUAAGAGAUAUUUUGAGUUAUUCCCACUUGAUGGUCCUAGGAUUGACAUAUGUUAUUAUUAUGACAUUUUGGAUUGUAUAACUAUAUUUUGAUUAGAUGAUUAAGGAUGAUUAAUGUAUGUUGACAUUAGAAUGGUUGGGUGAUAUUUGGUGUUAUAGUUGAGGAGAUUGAUUGAUGAAUUUGGUUGAAUAAUGAACUAUUUCAGAAGUGUUUAUUUUAUACAUUUGCGGCUUUGGAAAAGUUAUAAAUGUAGGGGAAACUUUGCCCCAUUUUUUCGGCAAAUUCAUAUUAAUUAGUUUAUUACUAGUCAAGUUAGAUGAUAAAUAGACAAAUUCACCUUUAGAAUUCGAGCGGGUCGUUUCAUCUAAUUCUUUUAUCUUUAUCUAGGAUUGUAGUGUCCAAAAAUUAAGUAAAUAAUUAUUAGUAUUAAUUUGAUUGGAUUAUUAUGGUUAUUGAUUUAUUUUCAUAUUUCAUUGUUAAAUUUUUUUAUUAUGUCAUUCACUAUAAGAAAAAUAAUAAUAGAUGACUGACACUUUAUGAUAAAAAUCGCUAUAUCAUAAGAGUAUGACAGGGUUGUGAUAAAAUUAUUGUCUAUCAAAUGAUUAAUGAUGUACUUGUGAUAUAAUUUGUGUUUAUUGAGAAUUUAUGAUAGGAUAGUGAUAAAAAUAUACUCUAUCAAAAACUUUGUGAUAGAAUUUUAACAUUGACCGUGUUUGACCAAAUUUUAAAUUAAUAUUUUAUUAAAAUAAAAAUAAAAUCAAAACAGGGCUUUUAGACUAAGACAUAAAAUUUUCUCAUGUCACGGAACUCACUUAGUCUGUUAGUUAGUCACUUAUUGCUCACCACAUAACGCAUGCCACUCAUCAACUAACACUGUGAAAUCAAUGCCACUAUGAUUUCAGUAUUCAAAUAGUGUUCUUGCUGUCGUUAGAACACUGAUGACAACUACGAUGACGAAGCACGCGCAAAACUAGGCCACAAGUCUCACCAAGUUACGCUUCCAUGUCACCACAACUCCACAUCACUGUCACUCAAAGCCAGGCCAAGCCGCCGCUGCUCUGAGGUAAAUUUUCCGUUCAUAGGACUUGCAUUGCUUUUCAUCAUAGAAGAUCGAGUAAAUUCAUUUUCGUAUGUGUUGAUUUUUGUUUUGAGAUUGUGAUAGCGAUUUCCGUUUUGAUGGAUUUGAAUUUAGAUUCUCAGAGAAAUACGUGAGAUUGUAAAUAGAUUUUAAAUUGAUUAAGUUGUUAGGUCUUCUAAAUUUUGUCAAUUUUUUCCUUUUUUUUCUGAUUUUUGGGCUGGAUUCAUGGUUAUUUCUCAAAUUAUCUCUACUGACAUGCUAAAGCUUAAGCUAUUAAAUGUUCAUGUACAUUCAAGUGCUUAUGUCUAUGCCGAAUGCAUCUUGAACGUAUGAACUUUGCAUUUUGAUGAUAUUAUUCAGCAGUCUUUUCUUUAUUGGGGCUAAUAUUGGUAUUUUCUGGACUGAAAAAAAAUUAGACGAAAUAAUAGUUUCUAACGAAGCCUACUAGGUGUUUGAUGGAAUGCAUUAAAGAAAAAAAAUUGCCUUAGUUUUUAUUUUGUGGCAUAUUCUGUUGAAUCUUUCAUUUUAAUUUUUAGUUUUUGUAGGUUGAACAUACAUCUUUGAUAAAGUGACUACAUGAAAAGGUUUUUAAUUAACACUUUCAUAAGUGGAUUGUAAUUGUCAUGUUAUCUAUGCAACAUGUCCAGAGAUUAACUUUGUUAUUUGGCCCCAAAACUGCAAGGAAUUAGAAUACGGCAACUAACAUUUGUAAGGUAAUCUAAUGUCUCUGUUUAUACCUGGAGCUCAUAUUAUAAGUAAGCUAGUUGAUUUGUUUUGUGUCUUAUUAUUCUUGUAUUCUAUAUUCGAUAUAUGUAGUUAUUGCAGGAACUUAUUAACUUGGAUUUGGCUUUGGAUUUUUAUAUGGAAUAACUUUUUGUCCUCUUUAUUUCACUUCUUUAAACACCUGUCUCUUCCUUUUGCACAUAUGUUUAACACUCUUUUUCUAUUCAAUGAUACCCAAAAAUAAUUGAUAUUAUCUAAGUAUUUGAAAUUUUAUCUCAAGAAUUAUAAUUGUACUAGAAAUUAAAAAUUGAGUAGCUUUUUUAAGCAAAGAUGUUGACAGUGUUUGUUUUAGCCAAAAGAAUAAUCAGUGCUUUGGAAGAAAGAGGAAAAACAUUGUUUCUGUGGUUUAUAUUUUCUAGAGCGUAUUUACAAAAACUUGCUAAUGGUAACGACAUUCGCUGGAGUUGUUUUUGGGUUCUUUGUAGGAGUAUUACAAAGGUAUUCACUGAAAAAGCAUAUAAUAGACAGUUAAGCUGUUGUAAAAGGGUAUUCACUGAAUAAGAUAAGAGACCCAGCUUUCUGUCUUGUUCUUGCAUCUCAGUUUUCAGACAAUUGUAAACUAUUUUCUGUAACUCCCUGGUCUUCAUUGUGCCUUUGGGUAACUCUUUUCUAAUUUGUUGCAUUAAAUAUUAUGGGUUCACUUAAUCAUUUAAAUUUAGUAGUUUAUGAGUUAUGUUAGGUGACAUAGAAAACAAGUGUGGUUUCUUAAGCUAUUUGGAAUAUUUUAAUUGCUACUGCUUCACUGUUAUUGUAAAGAUGUUUACCUUAAUUCUUCAUUGGGUGCAUCAUAUUCAUGACCCCUUAUUCUCUUUUGAAACUGCAAAAUGAUUCAAGCUGCCAAAGUUUUUUAAGUAUUUUGAGAAUGAACUUGGAGCAACUGUGAUAUUUGGAUUAUUUGCAAUAUCUUGGGUCAUUCUACGAUUAAUAUUCUUCCUCUUUUGGGUCAUCAAAUGUACAAGUUUUUCCUGCAUGAUAAAUGAUUUGAUGCCACCUUAUUUGGUCGUCUAGCAGUUUCUUUGGCUUAUUUGCUUUUUUGAUUUGCAUUUUCCAACUAUGAUCUUUAGUUCUACUUGAACUUAUCAUAUAUACUUUCAUUUACUACUUGUUCAAUACAAUGUUGCCGACGCUCUUUGUGGUCCAGAUAUGCUGGUGGGUUCUCA